Molecule: long non-coding RNA, 78048 nt
Filed under: Eutrema salsugineum
Lineage: Eukaryota; Viridiplantae; Streptophyta; Magnoliopsida; Brassicales; Brassicaceae
Source: RNAcentral
UUUUUUUUUUUUUUUUGGUUCAAGGGCUAAAUCAAGAGAAUCCAAUACUAUAUAUAAAGAAGAGAUUAAAGCCUAAAAAAAAUAGAAAUAAUAGGAAUGAAGAGAGUAGAUCUGGUUCUUACCUUUGCCAUCAACGUCAACGAGUAUUCAUCAAAUUAUCAUGCUUAAAAUCUAUCUUUUAAUCACACAAAAAAAAAAUCGUGUGAACUGAAGUUUAUAUGUAUCCAAUUCAUGUUGACACAUGCUAUACUUUUGGAAAUUAAUCUCUCAAGUGAUAGUUACAUUUCAAUUAUAUAUAUAUAUAUAUAUAUAUUAGAGUUAGGUGGUUAACCGGUUGAUUAUUAUUGGUUAAGCUUCCCUUUACUUAACCAAUUCUAUAUAUAUUUGUACAGUGACAUUUACAGUUGAAUAACAGAACAUUUUUUACCAUUCUCUCUCUAAAUCUAAUAUGGUAUCAGAGCUUUCUCUCUCCUUCCGCAACAAACUUUUUUCUUCACUCGAGCUUUGAUUCUCCAUGAUUCAAGCUUGAUUCUUCUUCAUUUUCUCUGGAUUUCGAGUCGAAUCUCUUCAAAUCGGAGUUUCGAUUCCUUUUUCGAUUUUUUUUUUAGCUCCAUUUUGCUCAAUUUCAUCUCGAUUUCAUCCUUCUUCUCGUAGUUUUGUCGUUCGCUCAAUCAAUGGCGAAUCCAGCUACGAACUCAAAUCCUAAUCGUGAUUCAUAUGAUAAUCCUUACUAUCUCAGUGGAAGCGAUCAUUCCGGACUUCUUCUUGUUUCAGAUCGUCUCACCGGUGCUGGAGAUUUUGGUUCAUGGUAUGAGUCAAUGAUAAUGGCAUUAAACGGUCGCAACAAACUCUGUUUCGUUGAUGGAACUCUUCCGAAGCCAAAUGAUGGUGAUAGAGACGCAGCUGUGUGGUCUCGUGUCAACGAUGUGGUUCGAUCUUGGCUUAUGAAUUCAGUAUCGAAGACAAUUGGUCAAAGCGUUCUCUACGUCAAGACGGCACAAGGAAUCUGGGAAAAAUUGCUUAAAAGAUUCAAGCAGAACAAUGUUCCUCGUCUUUAUCAGAUCGAACAACAACUUCAUGGCUUGCGUCAAGGUUCGUUAGAUGUCAACUCAUUCUAUACUCAGUUGAUUACAAUUUGGGAAUCUUUCAAGAGUGCUCAAGAUUUUCCGACUUGUCGUUGUGCUAAUUGUGAUUGCGAUGUCAACACGAAAUGGAUGGAAUUGUUUGAAAGGAAUUUUGUGAUCAAGUUUCUUUAUGGACUGAAUGAUUCUUAUGAAACGGUACGAGAACAAAUUAUCAUGAUAAGUCCUCUACCGGAUCUGGAGAAGACCUUAAAUAUGGUGAUUCAGCAUGAACAUCAAAAGAUGAUCAAGCAAGUUCCGCAGUCUGAGGCAGUUGUUUUUCAGAUGAGCAACAUGGCUCCUCAAGCUACAGAUCCAAAUUUCUCAAACAAUGGAGGCUAUGGAAAUGUUUCUUUUACAAAUGAAACUAUUGGAGCAGUUUCUGGUGGCUAUAAACCAAAACAGCGACCUAUGUGCACAUAUUGUGGUCUUCAAGGACACACUGUCAACAAGUGCUACAAACUUCAUGGAUAUCCACCUGGAUACAAGUCAACAUAUGUUCCACCGCAACAAAACUAUGCUCCAAAGUCAGCUCCUCCGCAACAAAAUCCAUCUCUUCAGCAACAGAAUCAAAAUUUCCCGCAGCAUCAACAACAUGGUUCACAGUUCAAAGGUCAAGCUCAGAAAGGACCUCGUGAAAAUAUGGUUGGCAAUGUGGUUACUACUUCCCCGGCUGUGCAAGAUCAUUUUCACCAAGUUUCAAAUGCUUUAGCACACCUCUCUGAGGAACAACUUCAUCAAUUGGCACAACAACUCACGAACAAAGCUCAAUGUUCUAUGCCAACGAUAAAUGAAGUUCCAGGAGUCUCUUAUGGAUCUACAUCAGCAGGUAACCUCAUUUGCUCUACAAUGCUGGAACCAUGCCUUAAUUUCACUGCUUGGAUUAUCGAUUCUGGUGCGACAACACAUGUGUGUUGCAACUUAGGUCUAUUUGAUAUCUCUGAGACUACUGUGAAAUUACCUGAUAGUACACAGAUUGUCAUCAAUCAAUCUGGUACAGUCAAGUUAUCGGAUAAAAUUCUUCUCCAAAACGUCCUAUACAUCCCAUCCUUUCACCUAAACCUCAUCAGUGUUAGCUCAUUGCUACACGAUUCAUCCUACUCUGUUAACUUUUAUCCUUCCUUUUGCCUUAUCCAGGAGUUUACUCUGGGCUUGAUGAUUGGGAAGGGUAGACUAAAGCACAAACUCUACUUCCUGGAUUUAGAGCCUUUCACAUCAUACAACCUCAUUCAUAACAUCUCUACUUCCGACUCCAGCUCUUUAUGGCAUUCAAGGCUGGGUCAUCCAUCUUUCUCUCGGAUUCAAGUUUUAUCUGAAGACCUUUCUAUCCCAAAGUCAAAACUCAAAGACUGGUCACAUUGUGCUACUUGUCAUCUAGCCAAACAAAAACGAUUACCUUUUCUUUCAAAUAAUAAUCUUUCAACAAACCCUUUUGAUCUUGUUCAUAUGGAUGUCUGGGGUCCUUUUUCUGUUGUUUCUACAGAUGGUUUUAGAUACUUUCUAACCAUUGUUGAUGAUUGUACAAGGGUAACAUGGGUCUAUUUCUUAAAAGCAAAGAGUGAUGUUAUCACCGUUGUACCCUCUUUUCUUAAACUUGUAGAAACUCAAUACUCUAAUAAAAUCAAGUCUGUUCGUUCUGACAAUGCUCCUGAACUCUCUUUCAAAACUCUCUUUGAAACCCAUGGGAUUUUUCACUAUUAUUCUUGUACGGGAACCCCUCAACAGAAUUCUGUUGUUGAAAGAAAACACCAGCACAUUUUAAAUGUGGCCAGAGCCCUCCUUUUCCAGUCCAAUGUCCCUAUCCAAUAUUGGACAGAUUGUGUUCGAACCUCAGUAUUCUUAAUAAACAGAAUUCCAUCACCACUUCUUCAAAAUAAAACCCCUUUUGAACUCCUCAUGAAUAAGAAACCAGAUUACUCUCUCUUAAAAACUUUCGGGUGCCUUUGUUAUGUGUCUACAUUUCCAAAAGAUAGACAUAAGUUUACUCCUAGAGCCGAACCCUCCGUUUUUCUGGGAUACCCUUCAGGGUACAAAGGAUAUAAAGUUCUCAAUCUUGAAACUCACUCCAUCUCUAUAUCCCGGAAUGUUAUUUUUCAUGAGGACAUAUUCCCAUUCAUCACAUCCGAUAUCCCUACUCCCACCCGUGACCUUUUCCCACACACCAUUCUUCCUUUACCCAUACCUGAUACAACACCACCACCAAAUCCCAUCACACAAACACCACCAACACCAAAUCCUGGAGUUUUAUCCGAUAACAGUGAUUUCCCAUUAGUGUCUGAGAAUACUAUUUCUAUUAAUGCAAAUAGACCUAAGAGGAACACUCGGGCUCCUUCAUAUUUGCAGCAAUACCACUGCAACUUGGUGCAUGAUUUGCCAGUCCCAACAGGCAAAACGGCACAUCCUCUGUCUACAGUUCUGGAUUAUUCAAAACUAAAAGAUCAUUAUCAAUCUUUUGUUUUCAACAUCUCAUCAGAAUCUGAACCCAAAGAUUUCAAUGAGGCUGUUCGAAACAAAAAGUGGCAUGAUCCAAUGAAUGAAGAACUGGAAACCUGUGUUAAAACAGGAACUUUCUCGGUUGUCUCUUUACCUCCAGGAAAACAUCCGAUUGGAUGCAGAUGGGUCUACAGAAUAAAGCACAAUCCAGACGGUUCAGUAGACAGAUAUAGAGCUCGAUUAGUGGCAAAAGGUUAUACACAACAGAAAGGUGUAGACUACAUUGAUACUUUCUCUCCAGUGGCAAAGCUAGUAACCGUGAAAAUGAUUCUAGAUUUGGCUGCAAAACACGGCUGGUCCUUAACACAAAUGGAUGUCACAAAUGCUUUCUUACAUGGCGAUCUAGAAGAAGAAAUAUACAUGCAAUUGCCACCGGGAUAUACACCUCCUCCUGGUGAAUCUUUACCACCAAAUGCCGUAUGGAAACUUCAUAAAUCACUUUAUGGCCUAAAGCAAGCUUCGCGCCAGUGGUAUAAGAAGUUUUCAGAGGUUCUUCUCAGAGAUGGUUUUACUCAGUCUGAAACGGAACACACUUUGUUUGUUAAAGUAACUGGAUCAACAUUUGUUGCACUACUGGUUUAUGUAGACGAUAUACUCAUCGCCAGCAACAAAGACGAAGCAGUUUCAGACUUAAAGACUCUUCUUGCUACAGCCUUCAAACUAAAGGAUCUUGGACCGGUGAAAUAUUUCUUAGGCCUGGAAAUAGCAAGAACGAGUAAAGGCAUCUCUGUUUCUCAACGCAAAUACGCUUUGGAUCUUCUUGAAUCAGUUGGUCUUCUUGGUUGUAAACCGGUUGCAACACCAAUGGACUCAACUAUUCACUUAAGUUCAGAAAGUGGAGAUUUAAUGCAAGAUCCGACAGUAUAUAGAGCGUUGGUUGGAAAAUUACUUUAUCUUACUAUUACGAGAGCUGAUAUUACUUUUGCUGUUCAUAAACUGAGCCAAUAUCUCUCCAAGCCAAGGACACAGCAUUAUGAAGCUGCUCUUCGAGUAGUAAGAUACUUAAAAGGAGAUCCGGGUCGUGGUUUAUUCUUCUCAGCCAAUUCAGAUAUACGAUUACAAGGAUUCUCCGAUGCUGACUGGUCUAGUUGUCCAGACUCGAGAAGAUCAACAACUGGUUUCUGUGUAUUUCUGGGUGAUUCGUUGAUAUCAUGGAAGUCAAGAAAACAGAAAACAGUUUCUCGAAGUAGCGCUGAAGCAGAGUACAGAGCAUUAGCUGAUACUACUUGUGAAUUGGUAUGGCUAAAUCAACUGUUACAAGAUCUCAAGAUACCUGUAACUGGUCCGGCUAAUCUCUUCUGUGUCAGCACUUCAGCAAUGCAAAUAGCCUCAAAUUCAGUAUUUCACGAACGAACAAAACAUAUAGAGAAUGAUUGUCAUCUAGUUCGUGAAAGACUGAGGGCUGGUUUUCUGAACUUAAUGCAUGUGAAGACUGAAAACCAGUUGGCAGAUUUGUUCACCAAAGCUCUUCCUCCCAAGACUUUCAAGUUUCUUUUGUCGAAGUUCGCAUUUUCAAGUCUUUUUCUUCCUCCUUGAAGAAUUCGACUUGAGGGGAGGGUAUUAGAGUUAGGUGGUUAACCGGUUGAUUAUUAUUGGUUAAGCUUCCCUUUACUUAACCAAGUCUAUAUAUAUUUGUACAGUGACAUUUACAGUUGAAUAAUAGAACAUUUUUUACCAUUCUCUCUCUAAAUCUAAUAAUAUAUUUCUGUAUUAAAUUAAUAAUUAAGAUAACAUUUACGAAUACAUACAACAUACAGGAACGUAAAAGGUUAAUUAACUGAUAUGAAACAGCCUUUGUUAUAUUAUGAAUUCACAAAAUCAAUCAAUACAUAACUACAUCAUUAUUCUCUUGCCAAAGAGAAAGAGUUGGUUCCUCAAAUGCAAGUCCAUAGUUAAUAUGAGAAUAAUAAUCACCACCUUCAAUCUCAACACUAUCCAUGUAAGAAAGUUCCGUACACCAAUUCAUCAUCUCAUCAUCAUUUUGCGACGAAAGCACACCAAUAUCAAAGUCGUUAAGCCACCCGAAAUCAUCUUCAAGACCGGAUUUUGUCUGUUGAAGAUCCGUUUUCCGAGAUUCUAUGGUCGUCGUCGGAGAAUUCAUGUUGAUCUCAACUUCUAGCGAUCUAAUGACUCGGUUUAAUUUCUCUUCUUCCUCUUCGUUAACGCUACUAUGGUUUUCGACAGGCGAUUCAUCUUCCAAAAACGACAUGAUCAUAAGCUCAUCGUUGAAAAUCUCCAUGCCUUGAUCCAAACCAUACUGCAGAGACUCCAUUUGUGAGAAGAGAUCGAGAAACUGUUAAGAAGAGCAAAUUUAUAUCUAUAACUUAAAGAGAAUAUAUUAUAUCUUGAGAGCCAAAGCUAAGAGGUCUUAUAUAUAGGGAAAGGUACGUUAAAUUAAUUAAUUAAUUAGGCAUAUUGGCGUAUGAGAUAAGAUGUCUCCCCACACUACACGACCAAUCAUGUGAUCAUAUGUAAUGUGCUAUGAUGAUGAUGAUGAUAAUGGUUUAUAAUAAAGAAUAAGAAUGGGAUAAUAUGAUAGCUUUUGGCCUAACUGAUAAUGGACCAUCGAGGAGACAUGACUGAACGAAAUUAAUUCAUGGAUAUUUAUUAUAAUUAGAAAAUUAGUUGAAUGUCAAAUUUCAACUGUCCAAGUGGAAUAUGCGUAUAGGCAAAGAUCUUGCAAGUUUGGUACAAUGCACCACCCACUUAUAGAUAUGGUUUAACACAGGCGAUGAAACAAAGCAAUUACAUCUACUUUACUCGUGUUUGCAAUCAAUUUGGGAACCAAAUUAAAUGAACGUAUUUAGAUUUGUUUUAUUUUGAAAAGGAGAAUUUUUAUAAAUGCUCCGGAUAAUGCCACUACUAUGUAUACAUACAUAGAGAAUGAGAAUACCACUACCACUAGUAUAAAAUAUCCACAAAGUACUAAUUUUUUAAUGAAAGGUUUUAUCCUCAAGGAUUUAUUUUUCCGGAAACAAAAUUUGGAUGAUACGAUUGGUAACAACAGAAUUGUGAGCAAAGGAAAACACGUUGUGUGAUUUACGUUGGAUGAUUUACGUUGUGUCAUACUAUUAUGGAUUGUUUAGUUUUGGAUCUCGGUUCCGAACUUCGAGAUUAUAAAAAAAAAGUCUAAUAUUAUAAUCCAAUUACAAAAAAGGUCUAAUAUAAUCCAUAUGGAAUAUCAGUUUAACUUAUAUCUACUCUCUUUGUUUGUAAAAAUGCACAAUUUACACGUCCAUAAAAACGGUUCGGGUCUAUUGCACAUCUAACACAUAAUGUAGACUUUAGAGCGCAAAUGCAUGUCACAUUCAACAAUACACGUACCGACAUAUAUUAAAGAUAUAUAUAUAAAAAAAAACUUUAAUUUUGGGGUCGUAUACGAUAUAUGCUUGAUAAGGUACGUGUCACAUGUGGGUGUUGGACGUUGGAGAAGAAAUGAUUUGACCGAAUAAAUGAAAUUUGAAGCUUUAUAGAAGCAUUAGCACGAGUGGUGGUUCUUAUAGUGGACCGACCCACCCCAUCUUCAUCGCAUCAAUUAUCGAUCGGUUCACAUGUCUCCACCUCUGUUUUCGUAUUUUUUAAUGUUUCUCCGAUUCUUCUCCAAGAUAUCUCGAAUUAUUCUGUAGUAUGUAUUUUGAUUCAAAACUUUUAUGAUUUCCUUUUUAUAUAAGUUUUAUAUAAGAAUUCUUCGUUCAUUGUUGCUGGAAGCUAAAUAUUUUUCGUUUUAGAUUCGUCAACAAAAGUAACAUCUUACAACGACAUCAGAAAUUACCAGCGAUGUCAAAAAUUCACUCAUUUCACCAAGUCGUUGAUUCAAAUUUUAAAAUAGUAUAUGUUUAGUAUGAAUUUAUUUUACGUAUUACUAGCUAAACCCAGUAGACAUCCAUAGUUUUUUUUUUCCUUUCUGGAAACAAAUCAUACAUAAAAGACUUGAGUCACUCGACUUACCUACAGAUUUUUUUUCUUUUUCUUAUUUGGUUCAAAACCUGACAAUCUUCAAGUUGAAAAUAUACUUAAGUGGAUGUUAUUGAUCCAAACAUAAUCACGUGUUAAUAGAUAAAUGAUUUUUAAGUCCUUAUCAAAAUAAUAUGUCAUUCAUCUAUGGUUUAUAGAUUUCCAAUACGAAGGACUUACAUAUAGAUUUUGAUUUUGAAGUGGACUUUAAUGGCUUUAAAUUUAAAAGUCAAGAUAAAUAUACGUAAAUUGAAAUCUGAAGGCAAACCUACAUAUUCACAAAAUUAACUAUAAUCAAUUUUGAAAUCACUUAAUCUUUCAAAACGGCAAAAAAAGAAACACAUUCUGUAAAAGAAAAAUGGGAAUCUACUAUGGUGCGUUUAAUGAAACCUUCUAAACCAACUGGAAGGGCUUGUGCUGAUGCAACCCUAAAUAUUUUCCCGCUAUUUCGUCCUUCCUUGUCUCUCUGUCUCUCCCUCCUCAAUGAGCUCAAGUCGGAAACCUAGGAAUCACGCAAAUCGUCUGAAAUCAACCAAACCCGUCGUUUAGACGUUUACUGUCAGAUCACGAAUCACAGAAGGACCGGACGUAUGGAAAAAGUUUUUCUGGACUGUGAUGAACGCCAAUGUGGAAACUGGUAAGAUUGAGUAAAGCCAGGAAGCUGUUCGAUGAAAUGCCUGAGAGAACCACAGCUUCUUACAAGUAUUAAUGGUUUCUUCCGCGUAGGGAUGUGUUCAAAAAGGCACAUAAUUUAGGAUUGGAGAGAAAUUUCUGCUAUCAUAUUUAGAAUCGCUAUUUGAUGGGUAUUGCAAAGGAGAAAUAUUUUUGAUGCUAUUUGAUAGAAUGCCUUCGGAAAAAAUGUGCUACGAUUGAUGGUUGUUUCAAAGAUGGGUUUGGUUUUGUUUUUGACAAUGAGACAGGAGGGAGAUGUCAGUGUUAAUUCUAGCUCUCAUGUUUAAAGCCUGUGGGAAGAUUUAUGGGUUAGUUUCAUCCAUGCCUCUAGACUCUGGGCAUGACCAAAUAUUUGAAGCUUAUGAACUUUCUGAGAUAUGCCGAAGAAAGGCGUAGUUUUACUCGGCAGAUAUUACCUAAAGGAUUUUCUAGAAAAAGGAGAUAUCUCUAAAUGCGUGGUUUGUUCAUAGUGUUGCCUAAAAAGAACGCUAUCACCUGGACCGUUAUAAUAUCAGACUGCGUUUGCGAGCAUUGGAGAGCAUGAGGAGGCGCUCUAGGGAAAAUGCUUAUCUUAAAGCUCCCAACUUUCAGUAGUGUGUUCCGCACAACAUCUGCCUUUGGCUGCUUUGAUCUAAGGACUGCAGAAUUGUGAAGAUCAGCAUGGCUUAUGACUGACAAUAACAGCUUAUGUUAUCUGAUAUGUAUCAGCUUAUUGGAUGUUAUCUUAUCACAUGGUGUUCUCUCGUUGAUCAAGACCUUAGCUUGGUUUCGUGGCUACCAUGCCCCAAGCGUUUUUUCCUAGAACAAAUCAAAUAUGAACUGUAAGUUUACCUACUUUGAUUCUCCGUAUUUUACCUACUUUGAUCAAGUGGCCCAGAAGUUAGGACACUCAUAAUGUCCUAGGAUCAGACCUUUACAAAUUCACAAUGUCUUGUCUAAUGAUUGGCAAAAAAGCCUCAUAAUGCUCUAGGAUCAUAAAUUCUGUACCUGAAGUCAAUUGUUGUUUGUUUGUUUAACAUUUCCUCCAUUUACUAACUAAUGAAAAAUCUGAAUUGCGUUCAAUUAUUCUGAUUAUUAUUUGAACUUCUUAUACUUUUUCAUCCCAUAAUUCAGAAUUCAUACUGUCUUCUUCACAGAUGAUAUCAUUUAAAAAUACUGCAAAGACGUUGACCUUCAUUGCUUUCAAUUCCAAGAAACCUAUUAAGAGCUUCACAUGCUCUUAAUGGGUGGUAAACCCAAUUAUAAAAAAUUUGUAAUGUGAGAAGGGUGAUCAUCCAUGGCUUAUGUUCAUCUCAGCUCAUCCUCCCUCGUCAUCCAAUCCAAAGGAAGAAGAUUCAACUCCAUAUCUUCCGUCAAGAAGAGUCUGCAGAAACGCAGUGUUUUGUCUCUCUCUUCUGCUCUCACCUCACGAGGCAGAGACAUGAUUCCACCAGAGGCAAGCUCUGCCUUUGACUUCAAGACCUAUAUGAACCGUAAAGCCGAAUCUGUAAACGCGGCUCUCAACGUUUCCGUACCUCUUCUGAAACCCCUCACGAUCCAAGAAGGGGUGCGGUACUCAUUGUUAGCGGGCGGAAAACGUGUGAGGCCUCUUCUGUGCAUUGCUGCCUGCGAGCUCGUUGGCGGUGACGAGGCUACUGCCAUGUCAGCCGCUUGCGCGGUCGAGAUGAUCCACACGAGCUCUCUUAUUCAUGACGACCUUCCCUGUAUGGACAACGCCGACCUCCGUAGAGGCAAGCCCACCAACCACAAGGUAUGUUGUAUAAUCAUAUGAAGCCUCUGAUAAAUGCUCACUAGCGUUGAAUCUUUCAUUGAUGUUAACGCAUGCACACUAGUGUUGAAACAAUUUUUUGCUCGAACAAGGUGUUUGGAGAAGACAUGGCAGUUUUGGCGGGUGAUGCACUCCUUGCUUUGGCGUUUGAGCAUAUGACGAUCGUGUCAAGUGGGUUGGUCGCUCCCGAGAGGACAGUGCGCGCGGUAAUUGAGCUGGCCAAGGCCAUAGGGACAAAAGGGUUAGUUGCAGGACAAGUGAUUGACCUGAGCAGCGAAGGACUGAAUCCAGACGACGGUGGAUUGGAGCGUCUAGAGUUUAUCCACCUCCACAAAACGGCGGCGUUGUUGGAGGCAGCUGCGGUUUUAGGGGUUAUAAUGGGAGGUGGAACAGAGGAGGAGAUCGAGAAGCUUAGAAAGUAUGCGAGAUGUAUUGGGAUGUUGUUCCAGGUGGUUGAUGAUAUUCUUGACGUAAUGAAAUCCACUAAUACAUUGGGAAAGACUGCCGGACAAGACUUGGUUGCCGGAAAGCUGACGUAUCCAAGACUAAUUGGUUUAGAGAGAUCAAGGGAAGUUGCAGAGAAAUUGAGCAGAGAAGCAGAGGAACUGCUUCAAGGCUUUGAUCCGAAUAAGGCGGCGCCUCUGUUGGCUCUGGCUAGCUACAUUGCUAGCAGACACAACUGAUCUUUGGUCUUGUUUAGGAACAGCUCAAUGCAUCUAAUGUUCCUAACAAGUCUGUUUAGUUCGCUCUCUGGUCUUCUUUCCUAUGAACCAUUUAUCUUGCGAUCACCUAUCUGUUUUAGUAUUGUGUUAUUGAAUCUUGAUGCCAGGUUUCAACAAAAUUCAUUAUAUAUAAUGUAGAUAUUUUUUUCUUUCUAAGGAUAUGUAUAAGCUAUAAUGGUUUCUCUUAAACUACAUCUUCUCCCGUUUUUCUCUACAAAGCACUAUAAACUAAGUUAAGUGAGACAUGUUACAUUACAUGUAGUGAAAAUGGUUUAUAGAAAGAACGUGAUCGUGUGGAUUUCCAUUAAAUGAUCGUCUGACAGUUUCCAUCCCCAUUUUCUCCGGAUCUAAUUUUGCAUUGAAACCCUUAUCUAAUAAUAUAUAGUAAUAUAAGAUUCCGUCUCUACUUAGAAAUUAAUCUCCGUUAAUAGUUUAUCUCCUUGGAAAUUGGAACUCGUCUCAUCGACGGUCGACUUGCAACAACAAACAUAAGAUUUGCGAACAGCACUAGUACCCCUAACGUUUGUCUAAUAGAGACUUGUGAUUAUAAUAUUUUUUUGGCCAAAUAAGUGAUUACAAUAUUGCAUGUCUCUCUAUCUUAUCUUAUGAAAGGUUUUUUUUUUUGUUUGUUUAAGGAAUCUUAUGAAAGGUUUUUUUUCCAUCAAUAAUGUCAGCAAGUUUUCCUUUCACGUGUUUUAUUGCAUAUAAUAGAAUUAUUGACCCGCCAUUUUGUAUCUGUUUAGGAAUUUAACGAAGUAGAAAGAGAGACUUAAACUAUGAAGCCAACUCGUGAGAGACAUCUCAUGUCAUCUCACAGCAGCGACAAGGAGAAGAUUCGUCUUAUCCAUUUGCUUAGCAGCCUUGGGAUCUCUUAAUUAUCAUUUAUAAGGAGGUUCAAGAGAUCCUUAACCACAGAUUCAAAAACUUGGAUGACAUGAUAGUCAGGGAAGAUGAUCUAAAAACAAUUUCCAUCAAUUUCCAAAAUAUCUUGUGGUAAGAAUAUCAGUUUCCUUUGAUCCAUGCAGCAUAUUCAUAAAAUACGAAUGGGGAUUGAGAGAUCUCGAAAAUCUUCGAAAUCUCGAGAUCGAAGGAGGGAACGAGGACAUUGAAUCGUUUCCAGAGGAAGGGUUACUGCCAAAUUAAAGGUCUUUUUUCUCUGCGGAUAAGCCGUUUCGAGAACCUCAGGGCUUUGAAUCACAAAGGGUUUCAGGAUACAAAGGCUCUUGAGACGAUGGAGAUCAACGGCUAUGAUAAGCUACGGAUAUCGAUAGAUGAAGAUCUUCCUCCUUCCUUGUCUUGCCUUCGAAUCAGUUCAUGCCCAUUGUUGACGGAAGUAGAAACAGUAUUCUUAAGCAUUCCAUAUGUGGAAAUUGACGGCGAGAUCUUCUCUUGAGGGACAAUUUAUUAUAUUUAAAUCACACUUUCUACACACUAGAUACCUUACUUGAUGCACACGACAUUGUAAUUUAGCUUUUUUUCAGAGAUCUCCAACAUUUGACAUCUUUUUCUUCUAUUCUAUCUCAAAAUAAUGAUCUUUUCUAACCUUGAGAAAAAGGUGAACAAACAAUAAAUGAACCUGUGAAAAGCUCAACAACUUUCAAAAGCAAAUGCUUCAAAAAUCCCUUACAGAAAGAUGAUGAAACAGUUGGAAGUAUCUCAGUCGAAAAGACAGAACCUAACAAGACCUCCAAAAUUCAGAAGCAGGAUCAUGGUGUUUCCAGCUACUAACAUAAGUGGAGAUAAUUGUUCUAAAACUUUGAAGAUAAAGAAAACUCCAAAAAAGAAAAGAAAGAAAAAAAAUCUACUGCAGGAAAUGAAAUGUUUGCAAUCAUCUCUCUUCUAGACAGACAAGCUUAGUCAGGUCUCUUUUCUAGUUUGUCGAUGGUGGUCGAGUGAUUCGUGGCCUUACUGGUGUCUUUGAUGGACUUACCCUAGAAAAAGAAAAGAAAUAGAGCCAAAUGUUGAUCCAACUGAGAUAUUCACAUUACAAAAAAAAAAAAAAAAAAAAAAACACAGCAUUGCAUCGAUGAAACUUUACCGUAUCGGUUGGGAUCCAACGACCAUCCCGCUGCAAUUGAGCGCCCUAAGUGCACUAUCUGCCUGUUCGUGUGAAAAGAAAAAGAAAUAUGAGUUUCUCAAUUUGUCAAAUUAUAUAUUUUAUCAUCUCCUUAAUCAAACUUCUAGUCAUCAGUAAAAAGAGCCAAAAAAGUGAGUAUGGGGAAUAUAGACUUGCAAUCUAUAAUAGAUGAAGAGCUCACCAGAGCAAAUUCAACAAAAGCUAUGCGAGUAGAAUGCAGUUGAUCGCCAAGAAGCCUCAGGCGAGUUACCUGCGUAUAUUAGAAACCAACUUAAGCACCAUUCCUUAAAAAGGAAAUAUUUCAGCCAAUUUAAGCGAGAGAGAGAGAGAGAUCAAGCAAGGUCUAGGUUUUGUUCUGACCUCACCACAUGCCGACUCAAAGAAGUUUCUCACAUCAGCUUGAGAAACCUGCAGGUGUAUAAAGAAAAUCUUAAACCAGGAGAAGCUACCGAAGAAAAGUAAAAUUAGUAAUGGUUGUAGAUUGUUCAGCAUUUACCUUCUUGUCGAUAUUUGUGCAAUAGAUUGUCCUUGUACACAUCUCCCUUUCAUAUUCUGACUGAAUUUAACACCAAAAAAACUAUUAGAAUGCAGAGUUUAUUCAAAACUCAAAAAAAACUUAAAACCAAAUUAAUUAGUGGAACUUGUGACGAACAUGUGAGCUUACCCUGGGAAGAAAUGUGGGAUUCACUGGAAGAAUAGCAGUUUUGGAGGGUAAAACCCUCACUGGGUAGUAUCCAACCAUUGUUCCACCAAGGCUUAAAGCUUCUCUUGCGCCCUCUGUAUAGUAAAAUGCCUAGUAUGGGUCAAAAGAGUGAUAUUGAAUUUUUUCUGUUAAAGUAUUUCAAGAUUCCAGCAGCCAAACUUACGGUCCUCAGCAAACUCAACAAACGCAAAUCGAAGAACUGAAUGUGGAUCCCCACAAAUUCGACAAUCAACAACCUUCACAAGAGAAUAACUCACUGUUACUUCACAAACAUUAUAUACCACUAAAGAUACAUUUAAAUUAAAAAAAAAAAAAAUUGCAGCAAUAUUUUAGCACAUAACACAUAAUCUCACUUUCAACAGAUAUGCUUAUAAACUUGUCUAAAUCAAUUACAUUGUCCAAAACCAAUGAAGGGAAAAGGAUAUAGCAAGCAUUAUUCAAAGGCUUAAUUGUCAUCUUACUUGUCCACAGUUACUAAACAAGCAAGCGAGACCUUCCUCAGUUACCUAAACCACAAAGCAGAUUUAGGUUACAUGGAUGCAAACUGUAACUUUAAUCCUUUUGAGAACCUUAAAAAAGACAGUAACAAACUUACACUCUGGUCAAUGUCAGAAACAUAUACUGUUCUUCUAAUACUAUCCUCUCUCUGAGCCUUAGAAAUUCUUCCAGUUAACCUCCUCCUCCCUUGGCUAUAACUGUUUCUUCUCUGUUUUCACAAAAAGAAGAAAAUUUAACACAACGAAACCCCCAAAGUUUGCAGCUUUACAACAACAAAAAGUCACAUUGUGAAUCGUCAGAUUAAUUUAUCAUCCAAAUUAUCUGAUCAUUAAAAAAAAAAAAAACGGGAAAAACAAAUCCACGAUUAUACCUUGCGGUUAUUGUCAUCCUUCUUGCCAUCAGGAUCAAAUUCUUCACCGGAUUGCUUCUUCGUGGUCGGAAAAUCGUCAGACGACAGAAAUUGAUUACCUUUCCCAGUCUGAAUGUUCUUCUUCGGAUUGUAGUAAGAAGGGAAAAACUCCUUAGCCAAAGGAUUCAGUUUCUUGAAAAUCGCCACAAGCUUCUGCAUAUCUAACUCGGAUUCGGGUUUGAGCUCGGAUUCAGUUUUAGAACCCGUGAUCGAGCUCUUCUCAAUUCCGUCACCAGUGAUCUUUUCGCCAUCGCUAUUGAUACUAAUCUCAUGAGCAUCGUCGAUAACAUCAGUGGGCAUUUCAGUGAUCGCAGCCAUUGAAUCAGAUUCCCAGAAAACAGAAUAACUUAUUAGACCCCCCCAAAAAAAAACAAGGAGGAAACAACUCUCUCCUUUUCAGUAAUUUUUUCGUAAAUUUCGAAACUUUGACGAAAGAUGAUGAGAAAAACUCGACUUAAUCCAAAAAUGUGACACUCUUAAUUGAAACCCAUUUAAAAAAUUCCACCGUAUUAACGCACGCAAAUCACGAAGGUGCUUGAUCUCGUAGAUAUUGAUUAUAUAAACAAGAGUUGAGUCAAAAUGUAAUAGUCAGGCCAUUUAAGGGAAUAUAGAGUUUGCGAUUACAGAAAGCUUUCUCUGUGGUGUGGUUAUGGUGAUGAGCGAAGGGAGGAGAUGAAGUAAAAAGAAAGGAAUGAUGAGGCUUUUUUGCUUCCGUUUUGGCCGCUCUCUAUUUUGGCCUUUUCUACUUGCAAAGACGCUAACUUUCAGAAGAGUGAUGAACAAAAAAUAAUUGUUUUUUUUUUUGUGGCAAGGAACAUAUUUUAAUUAUCCUUGCGGUCCCUCUAUCUUCUUUUUAUUUUCCAAAAUGCCUCACGGUUUGUAUUGUUUAACUUUCGAUGUAAUUCGAGUAAGUAAAACUGUUUACAUGAGGAAUAAUAUAAAGGGCAAAAUCAACCACUCUUUUAUUUUUAUUCCAUUUUCCCGAUUAUAUUCUUCUUCUUUUAUAUGCAACAACGACAGAAAAUUUCUUCUUUUUUUCUUUUAAAGUUCCAUGAUGUUGUUUUUACAUUUUUUUCUUUCAAACAAUUUGUGUUAGUAGGUAGACUCGUUAAAAACUAAUAAGUCCGUUGCGUGCUGCUACUUCUCUUGCUCCAUGAAUCUUUGGAUUUGUUAGGAUUUAUCUAUUUUUCUUUCUUUUUGUAUAUAAAUUUCGUUUUUCUACUGCAUGAUUUUAGGUCAGGUUCGCCCUUUCUGCAUUUUUCAUUUUUUUUUGUUUUUUAUUUUCAUUUCAAAAUUCAUAUUAACAUGUACAUUUACACUCAUUUGAAGACAUUAUAAUAAAAUAGUGUCUUCAUAUGUUAUGCAUUCAUGUUCACUUUUUUUUGUUACAAGUCUUAAACAACUCAGAAGAAAUGUUUUGUCAAAAUAAUAAUUUAACUAAUUAAAACUUUAGUUUUUUCAGACUUUAAAAUAGAGUUUUUAAAAAAAAAAUCUCUUUAUUAGUCAUAGGUAAUUUAAAAUUGAUUCCUAUGUGUAUGUAUGGUUUGAUAUUUAUAUCUACAUUUAUCUGAAAGAUUUUCAAAACCAGGGUAUAUAUAUUUUUUUUUCUUUUAUAUGAGAUAUUACUGGAAUAAUAAAAAUAAAUUGUGUUUUUAAUUUUUUUUUGUAUGGUGAUAUGUGUAAUAUUUAAAAUUUAAAUAUAUCUAUAACAGUGAAUAAAUUUAAUAAUUUUAUUUUAAUAUUUUCUACAUUUUGAUUUUUGAAUUUAUAUUAUUUUGUAAUUUUAUAUUAUUCAAACAAAUAUUUUGAAUUUUGAUCUGUAUUUGUUCUGCAUGAUCUGCUUGAUAUGUAUUUGUUCUGCUUGAUAUGUAUUUGUUCUGCUUAAUCUGCAUGAUUUGUAUGAUCUAUAUUUUUAUUUAUCUACUAGAUUUUAACUUUGUGCGUCCGCACGAGAAUGUUUUAUUUUUUAUUUUUAAUAUAAGUUGCAUUUAUCAUUUUUGUUUAGAUAUAAUUUAUUUUUGUUAUUUAUUUUUUUAAAUCAAAAAAUUGUUAUCAUAUUUUAAUUUUAAACAGUAAAAUUUGUAUAUUAGUAGAAUAAGAGUAUACAUUAAUUAAGUAUACAUUGAUCUAAUGUUAAUUAUAAACUUUGUUAUUAUGUGAAUUUAGAUUUACACAUAAACAAUCUAUAUAUCUAUAAAUUUGCUAAUCCAUCCGUUUAGUUGUCUUAAAUCAUUUUUAAUAUCUUACAUGUUUUGACAAACUAACCCGUAUAAAACUAUAAUUAUAAUUGUAUAGAAUAUUUGGACCAAUUGAUUAUGAAAAUAUAUAAAAAGAUAUUUAUUUACUAUUUGUGCUAUUAAAAAAAUGUAUAUAUAUAUAUAUAAAUAGGCUAACAUGUUAGUUUAAUUGUCUCAAAUCAUCUUAAUAUCUUACAUGUUUUAAUAAAUUAACUCAUGGACCUUAAAUAUAUAUAUAUAUAGAUAACUCUAAUCAGCUCGAUCAUAUUUUUGUAUAAUAUAAAUAUUUAUUAAUCUCAAAUAUUUAAUAUUUUAGAUCGAUUGUUUAUGAUAAAAUACGAUAAAAUAUUUAUUUACUAUGCAUUUUUAUAAAAAUAUUAUUCAAAUUUAAAAUUUAAAAUUAAAUAUUUUCUGUAUUUAAGAAAUUAUAAAGUAUUGAAAUUAUUAUCUAAAUUUUUGUAAUAAAAUUUAAUUAUAAUUUUUUUGAAUUUUUUGAAUUUUAAUUAAAUUGAAUGCAAAUUUUUGUAACUAAAUUUAGUUAAAUUGAAAUUUAAAUUAAAGAUGAUCUAGAUUUUAAGAUAUCUAAAAAUAUCUAAAUUAAUAACUAAUUUUCGGAAAUAAAAUAUAAAAAUAAAAUAAAAUAUUAUAAAAAAAAACUUUGGGAAUGUUUGGAUGCAAGGACUAAAUAUGCUUAUGUUUUAAUAGAAUAGAUAGAUAUCACCAAUCGAAACCAUAUUUUAUUCUGAAAUCUUGCCGAUUACUGUUGAAAAAAAAAACGGAAUAUAUAUCAGAUUGUUGAACAACAGAAUCCACCGUCCUCGUCGCGAAUUUAUAAAUGUAUAUAUAGUUGUGACUUGUAACUUUAAUUAUUACAUUUCGUUUUGAGUGAUACCUCUAAUACUUAACUAUGUCACCAUUGCGUUAUUUUAAGGAACAAGAAAAAAAAAAUUGUAUUCCAGUAUUUAUGAUUGUUAAAAUUUUAAAAUGUUUUCUCCCGGUUGCAAACAAACAACUCGACAUGCCACAACAAUGGAAGGAUCUGUUUCGAAAGAAUUUAUAUUUUAUUAUGUAAAGUAAACCAAUAUUCAACGAAAUCUUAUUAUUAUAUAUAAGACGCGUUUGAUUGGUUGAAGAGAUUUACAAAAUAAUAUUUUCAUGGCGAUGUUUUACGAGAGAUGCUUGUACGCCAAAUUAAGAACAACUGAUGUGUCGUUCUAUUCUCUUCCCAUAUCGUAUAUGUGUAACAUGACAAAAUCUUUUUUUUUUUUUUUCACGGCUACACAGUCACAAGCAAAGUUGUCUUGACUUGAUGACACGAGUUCCUUUGGAUCAUAAAAUUUAAUAUUCGUCGUAUAGUAAAAUCAAUAUUCAAUCCCUCCUCGACAAAGUAUAGUUAAUUACUGGAGCUGUUCUAUUCGUUUACGUUAGAAAGAUUCUGAACUCCCCGUUAUAUAUUGUAAUUAUAUCACGUUUCGGAUUCGUAUAGAAAUUUCUUUAUACGAUCUCAAUUUCCUUUAUUGUACAAACGUUGAUUUUAAAGCCUCUUAAAAGUCUGAAUUCUGUUAGAGGUAGUAUUAAGAUUUAGAGAUAGUUGGUUAUGAAUAAAAGGGCUACUACUCGUCCCCGUUAACAGGAAACAACAACAACUACAUAAAAAGUAGGAACAAAAACAAUCGUCCCUCCCAUGUUUUCAGGGACGUUCCACCAUUGCAGACCCAUUUAGGCCCAUCCGUAUAUCGUGGGAAUGAAACUCAGUAUGAUUGAUCGAAUAAGGAAUAUUUAUUUAUGUUGGGUUUUUUUUGGGGCCAGACUUACAUAUAUCGGCCUACAUUUCUUUCACAAACAACAAUGUCGUACUAAAAACGUAUAAAUAUUUUGAUUUUGGGGGGGGGGGGGGUGCAUAUUAUAUGAAAAUUCCAACGAAAAGAUGAAUUCAAAUGAAAAAGACAACACCACCAAAACGAUAUAUCGAAAGUGAACCAAAACACUUAUUGGGCUUUUUAAAUAUUUUUUUCAAUUUUAUUACUGAUAUAUUGGUUCCCAUUCACGUGUACUAUAGUGUGUACUACAUAUAACCAUGUAAUAAUAAAACUAUAUAUAUAUAUAUAUAUUCUCGAAGUAUCUGAAGACUUCUAGAAGAUGCCAAUCAACCAACGUAAUAAACUUUGUAUCGAGGCUUCGGGCUAACAAAAUUGGAAUUGAGUUCCUUUUUCUAUUUCUCUUGAAAAUUAAUUUCUAAGAAACUCUCUUCAGAAGUCUUUAUAUUCCACGAAAACAUCCUUUUAUAUUUAAAGAAGAAUUGACCACAAAUGGUAAGGGGAGUUCAAUUUGGUUAAACUGAACCAUACUGAAUUGAACGAAACUGAAAUAGAAUAAUAUCUUUGUUAAUUUCAGUUAUCUUAUUAUAUAAUAUAUAUUAAAUUCUAUAGAUUACUAUCGUAGCUAUGUUACUAUUAUAGCAAGAAAAACAUUUUAUUAAUGACUUAAUGUUAUGAAGUUUUUCGAUUUUUAUCAAUAUUUAGCUCAAGGAAAGAAAGAAAGAAAAGUAUAUAUAAGGUCAAGAAUCAAAGUUAUAGUACAUUAAGGAAAUACUUAAAAAAUAUUCACAUAAAAAUUAAAAAUUAAAAGAAAAGCACGAUAAAUGUUUGAAUUCUUACGACCAUUGGAUUGUUUGAAUUCUUAUGAACAUUGGAUUCACGUAUUCGUUAUAUAUAUAUAUAUAUAUAUAUUCUCAGAAGAAGGGAACAUUAUUUGAAAUUUGUACACUUUUACCAAAAAUGCGAUAAAGAAAACGUUUCAUACGCAACAUCCAACAAUAAGUAAAAUUUUAAACUCAUGGAACUUCCAUUUUAUGGAAUCUGAAUAAAUAAAUUACAAAAUAAGGGACCGAUAAGUAUUGUUGACUAGUACAUCUGUACAUCUUAAACAAACAAAAAAAUUAGAAGAGGUCAAAUUAUAGGAUUCCGUUAGCUAAUUUAAUCAGAAGUUUCAACUCAUCGAGUGCGGUCGGUUAAAGCGCUUUUGAUUGACCGUUAUAAAACGCGUCAAAGCAAAAUCACGCCUUGCCACGUGUUGGUCAUUUUCUUGGUGAAUUGGACACGUUUUAUCCAACGUGUCUUAUUCUGUCGGAAGGCUCUCACUUGUGACGUGUCUUUUAAUUAACGGUAUCAUACAUUUGGCGGCAGUUUUGAAGCGUUGGAGAUCCUGCCAUCUUUGCUCCGUUUUCUUUUUUAUAAUCUAUUUUUUAUUAACUUCUGGAUAUUAAAAGAACUAAUCUAAUCGCAGUGUAGAGUACCAGUGAUGACAUUUUAAUUGGAUAAUCAAAACUUGGAUUACAUUUUACUAUAAAAAUAUGUAUAUAUAUAUAUAUAUAUAAAUCACCAUGCUUUUUCUUCUUUUGUCUACUUUCGGUUUUUUCGUGCUAAAGUUAUGUUACCUGUCUAAAUCAGGAUAUGAACUUUUGAAAAGAAAAAAUAUCUAUUAAUCAGCCAAAAUUAAUAGAAAAUUUCAAACUUUACUUGUACGCUUGUAGCUUUGUAUUGUACUUGCGGUUUAGGCGUAUAGGAUAUUUGGUUAACUUACAUGCAACAUACCAAAAACAAUUAAGUGAUAAUGGAUUAAUAGUUUCUACGAUGAGUUAUUAUUUAAUUCAAAUUAGAAUCAAAUUUUUCCAAUAUACUAAUGUGCUUUAGAUCAAUUAAAACAAUUAUAGUUAAUUAGCCAUUUAACUGCUAUACUCAUUCGGUAAGAUUGGUUGAGUGAUAAAAGUGUGAUCCCUAAUGAUUAUAAAAAGAGCAUACUAAGAACAAAAAAAAAUAUAUAUAUUUUUGUCAAUCCAGGAUUAAUAUUAAGUAUGAUAGAUUUUUAAAAUUUGAAAGGGAUCUUUAUUUUAUUUUAUUUAUCUUUCAUUUGGAAUCUUAAAGUAAUUAAGUAGAUAUUCAACACAUGCAUUGAUUGGACAAGACGGUCCAAUAAUUUCUUUCUAUUAAAUAGUUAAGAAGAAGUGAUAUGGAGAUUAGAGAGAGUGGGACAGAAAAAGAAAUUUGAUUGGAAGAGAGCUAUUAAAAUGAAAGGAGUGCAUGAAUCAAUGAAAAGUGAGGUAGUGAAUGUCUCUAUCUCUUAUUUUACGCACUUUCUUUAAUCAUAACUCAUUUUGUCCUCUCUCUAUGAGAAAAGUCGAAACAAUGUGGAGGUUAUGUUCGUUGCUUAUUCAUAAUAAAAUAAAAAUUUAAAAAUAACUAUACUGUAGUAACUAAUCGAGUAUCCAGUACUUAUUGAAGUUUUAAAUCUUCUGAACAAAUUCAAAAAAGAUCUUUUAAUUUGUUUGACAGAGUUACAAGUUCUAUACCCACCAUUGUAUUCUUAAUUCAAUUCAACUAAUAAAUACACUUGUAUAUUGUUUUUAUAUGCUUUUUUUUUUGACAUCACUGUUUUUAUAUGCUUACAUAAUUUGUUUUGCAAUUUUGUUUUCGACAACUACUAGUUUUAUCGUAUACGAGUAUAUUCGGUUUUUCGUUAGAAUGACAUAACAUCGAUUAUAAUAUAAUUCAAAAUAAUCUUAUGUUUAAGAAUUAAUUGCUAACGUAGAAAAAUGAUAUUAUCAUACGGCUUGACUCUGAAAUUAUAUGUGAACGGGUGCCACACAUGAAUUCUUUCGUAUAAGGGUUGUUUGUUUAUCUUGAUUAAGUGUUAUUUGAUAGCAAAUUAAAACAUCUAAAACGGAGAACCAGGUUCCAAAAUGGUCGAUGUCUACGCGAUUUCAAGAGUUCAACCGUUGGAAAUUGACUAAAAGUUCCUGGAGAUAUAUAAUAUAAUAAGUAAGCCAAAAUAUCCAUAACAAAAGUAUUUGUGACUCAUACAAGAGUAACAAGGACACAUGUCUUUUGAUGUGUAAAGUAAUAAACAAAAGUCUAGAUAUUUAAUCGCUUGUUUGAAUCUACUAUAUGCAUGCAAGGCAUUGUGUUAAAACAAACAAAAAACUAGGAGCACUGAAAAACAAUGCAAGUCAGUGCUAUUAGUACUUAAGCCCAUCCCAUCGCGCCUCAUAUAAAUGAAAAUAGAAGAAAAAAAUAUCCCAAAAAACAACUGUAUUGGUUUGGUACUGUUGAAGAAGACAAGUUAACUCUAAUUUAGCUACACAUGGUUAGUUGGUUACAAUAACCAAAUUUAUUAUAUUUUUAAAGAAAUAUAUGAUUUUUGUCCUUUCUAUGUCUAAAUAAGUAUAGGAUGCAUAUUAUUGUGUUCAAAGCGGAUUAGCUUUUUAAAUAUUAUAUCAAUACCCAUACCCGGCCCUCCACUUGUUUCUAUAUAGGCUAAGCUUUAUCAAUAGAUUUUUCUAAAAUUAAUUGUUGUAGUUUUUAUAUAAUCAAAACCGUAUCAUAUCAAAAGCAGUCCCUAAUUAUUCCGAAAAGUGUGAUUAAGUACACCGAACCUAAGAUUACAAAGAUCAGAAAGGAAAUAAGAAAAGCUUACAAAGAUAAGGCUCCUCUAAAUACUAUAUUAGGUCAAACAAAGGCAGGGUUAUUAACUCUAUAAGUCACUCUUGGUUAGGUACGAAUAAACGAACGACACCUAAGGUCUUCGAGAAUGGAGAUCUUAUUAUUAUCAUAUCUCUUAUAGUUUUAUUUACUCACAUAUAAAAAGAGUUAAAAUUAUUAAGAAGCAUUUAUAUAUACUUUCUAAUGGAAGGGGACUUUAGGCCAAGACUACCAAUAAAAUUAAAGGAGUGUCAAUUAGAUUCAAAAAUUACCAAAAAGAAAACCAAAGUGUUUAAAAACUUAAUAAACAAAAAAAAAAAUAUGUGUAAUAGUAUCUCACAUUUGGGCUUAGCAAGGACCAGGUUAGUCCGAUGAAUCUAAUUAUUUCACACUUAAAUGUUUUUAAGUGAAUAUUAGAGUAUCAUACUAGGUUUUUUUCUAUAUCCUAUGUUUAUUAGAAAAAUAAAGCAUGUUACAAACAUGAAAAAAAAGCUCAGACUGAUCAUUUGAAACUUGUAAAAAUAAUAUCUUUUUAUAAUAUUUAAAAUAACGUUAAAAAUAUUCCAAAAGAAGACCAUUGUAUACUCCACAAAGGGAUUUUCUUGAAUCUGACCUUAAAUCCCAACUCUCUCGAAGUGGAAACCAUUGUAUGCUGCACUGAUGCGGCUUGGAAGGCUGAUUCUCAAUUAGCAGGUCUUGGUUGGAUCUACAACUCACACCAAAGACAAACUUCCAACUUUUUGGUUUUUUCAUCACAUGUUUUGUCGGUUCUGUUGGCAGAAAGCAUUGGCGGUGAAAUCUGCCCUUAUCUACGUUAAGUCUUUGAAUUUCACCAAAAUCUCCAUCAAAUCGGAUUCGCUAACCUUGAUUCGGUUAAUCAACUCAAGCACUUUGACGUCGGAUCUCCAUGGUGUUCUAUCUGAUUAAAUCUCUGUGUUGUUUAAUCAAUUUCAAUUUUAUUUCAAGAUAAAAAAAACUGUAAACUGACUUAUUAGCCAAACAAGCCCUUAAUGAGCUGGUGAAUGAUAUAACACAUUGAAUUUAAUACAAGAAUAGUUGUCCAAAACAAAACAAAAAUGUUAAAAAUGUCCUUUAGGACAUCCACUAAAAGAAUACUCUUUGAUUAUAAAUAGUUAUAAUUAAGGUAUAUAUACUAGAAAUAAUUCAAUUUUUUGUUUUAUCUCUUCUUAAUGUACUAUAUAAUAUUAAUUUACUAAUUAAUAAACUAAAAGUAUAGAGAUAAAAGUAAAAAAAUAUCAAAAAUAUGCAUUGAAAAUAUAAAAGACAGUUAUAUUGAAACAAAAUUUAAAAUCUUAAACAACAAUUAAUAUAAAAUAGAAUCAGUAACUUUAAAAGAGGUGUGAGUGGAAGUAUGUAUCUUAAUUUUAAUGUUGCUAUUAUCAUAAAUUAUUGUUAUUAGUGACAUCUACUAGUACUGCACAAAAUCCGUGUGGUACAAAACAAUGCCCUCGUCUCCCGGCAUUAGCAGGAAAUAUUUUACAAACAAAAAAAAUAGUUAGGUAUAAAUAUAAGUAUUCGCUUAGGUUUAUAGUAAGUGUUCGCGUAAAUAAAAUAAGAAAAUCAUGAACUAAUUAAUAAACCCCACUUCAGAAAUUAACUAUUAUUAAUCAUCACAAUACUGUGUUGUGACUCAACGUUCAGGUACGAUAGCUAGCUUACGCAUAUCUUUGGAACGACAACGGUUCGAUGGUGGGAAUAUUAUUUUAACUAGAGAUGAUUUAUUGUUUAUAAUACUGACCAAAACAUAUUUAUUAAAAAAAUCUUCAAAUUAGCCAAUCAGACAAAUGACAUUCAGUUAAUAUAAAUUGACCGUUGCCGACAUUAGGAUUUUGCUUUUAGAAAAAUAACUUUUUUUUUGUCUCGUUCUAGUGGUCGUUUAAUUCGUUGCACGUAUUUUAUUAAUAAAUGGCCGAAGCGGUAAAAAUGCGGCAUAUUCGCAUCUUUAAAUUGCUCGUAUGUUAUUCAUUUUGCCAGUUUUAAGCUAUUUAAUUAAAUCAUGUGUUAUUAGAUUUGUUAUAUGUAAGUCAAAAUUUGAGAGUUUAAUUUUAUUCAACUAAUAUAUUUAAAACUAUUCUCCUCACUCUGUGUCAAUUGGUUUUCUAUGUUUUUGUGUGUUUUACAUUAAAAUUUCUAAAAUAUUUAAAUUAAUUGUUAUUUUAUUAGUGUAAGAUAUUUUAUGAUUUCUAAAAAUUAUAAAUGAUUUGAAAUUGUUAUUUGGAUAAUAAUGGAAUAUUAUAUUUUUUUUUUUUAAUUAACAUCGGAGACAAAAUUAUCAGAGAUUUAGCGAAAAAGUCAGCCAAAUUAAUGUUUUUUGUAAUUUUUAAAAAAAAUAAUGAUGGAUUCAAACUGUGAUGAGAACUGGUUAGUGUCGUGCAUAAUAUCGUAGAUCCCCUUUACAUUAUGUCAUGUUCUGAUGGCUCAAAUGAGAUUUUGUAAAUUGGAUUUGAUGUUGAUGAUUUUUCCAACCGAAGCUUAAUGUUGGUUUAAUCACCGAUAAUAUUGUCAACGCUUCUAUAUAUUGGAAGGGGAGAAUAGAUAAGGGGUUUCUAAAAUGUUAGAAACAACUUUGUUUUUGUUUAUACCAGUAAACUCAUUAGUCAUUAUGAACAAAGAAAAAGAAAAAAAAAAAACUUUGUGCCACGCCAUGUCAAUAAUUAUAGCAAAUGAGACAUUGAUCAGCUCGAAUUCAGUAGUUAAUUUGAAAAAAAUCAUUUAGAAAAAACGAAAAAGGAAAUUGCUUGACUUGUAUCUUAUCUGAAGAAGAUAAUGACAACGAUUAUUAUGAAUGCCUAUGAAAUUAAUAACGAUACGUAAUAAAAUAAAAAUAUAAAUAACGAUACGUAAUAUGUAUUGAGUUUGUGAUCGUAGGAAAGUGGUCCGUGAAUAAAUACAUUGAAUUUUGACCAACUUUACAGGCUGAUGGAUCGGAGGAAAAUAAAACUCCUCUUCUAAAUAGAAACAAAAACAAACUAUAUGAAGUUGAGAAAGUCUUCUUCUAGUCAUUGCCGCUUAAUAUCCAUUUUUACCUUCCUGUUGACUGAUUAAGCCAUUUACUUUUUUACAAAAAAAAUUUAUAGAAAAUAACGUGGAAGUUUAAUGACACAAUCAAUACAUAUCGUAAUCAAAAACAUAAUGAACAUAUGCGUAUUCACACUAUUAUUUUAGGUACUAUUCAGAACUUUUUUUAAGAAAAAAAAACGUAUGUUUAUACCUAUGAUAGUUUAAUAAAAAAAAACAAGUAUCUGUAUCUCUACAAUAUUCGUAACAAGUCAAACUACAAACUAAAACGUAUUAAGAAUUGGUGUCAGGUUUCAUAAACACAUUAUUUGUUUGUUUUAAGUAUUUUAAAAAUAAAUAAACUUAAUUUAAAAAACUCCACAAUAUAUUUUUCUCACUACCCUUACUUUUAUUUUACAUUAAAAUUUUCAGAAUUUAAUUAGUUCCCAUUUUUUAAAUAUGACAUGGUGGAAUUGGACUGUUGUCUCUAAUCAGCUAAAUAGCUUGAAUUUUCAAAAUUUCUCCAAAAAAAUAAAAAUAAAUAUUGGGUAACGUAGCUAAAUCAUUCAACUGCACGCAUAACCAGAAACAACUGGAAAUUUAAUUUGCAUGCAUGAUAUAACCAGAGAUAAAAGAAAAAAAUUGCUAAUGAAAAUGGGAAAAUGUAAAAAUGUUUUAUAAUGCAAAGGGGUUAGUUUCUUCAAACUUUCCUUUCGGGUACCGGACAUAUUAAGGACAUGAUUAAGGAUCACAAGUUCGAAUUUCUUAAGGUCUAACCCCAAAAGAAAAAUCAGCUUGUAUUCCGAAGAGAACAAAAAACAUGCGCACGAUAACAAAGCAGUGUUUGGAGUGGUCCCAUAUUGUGGAGUUUUCCCUGCAACUCUUAGUAGUAACAGAAACUUGAUUUGACACCUGCCAAAGAUGCCCCUAAUUAAGUAUGUUCCCCUUUUUCUUGUGCUUUUCUCUCCAAGUAGUUUUUUGUCAAACUUCCAAUGUCGUCAUACCCACACAUUUUGGCUCCAAUUAUUUACAUUCACAUACAUAUAUAAUCAUAAGAACAUUUAGAACUUAUAAAAGAAGCUAGAUUUUGAUCCAUUUGAUUACACAAUUGCAAAACAAAAACUAUGAAGUGCUGAUCAAAUACGUUUUAAAAUGUGCAUAUAUAGAAAAAACGAUUUGUUCAAAAUAGAUAAACAAAAUUUUUUAGGUGACACAAAUAAAAAUUUAGAUCGUUAAACUUUUUUAUUUAUUUAAUAAUUAUUUUGGUCUGGAUUUUGUUUUUGAAAGGUUUAAUAAAUGCAGAAGUCAAUCUGUUUCACAGCCAUUUCCAUUACAACAACCAUAAGUGAAAAGAAAACAUAUGUUUCGUGGUAACCGAUUAAAGAAAAUCUUUACAGAUACCAAAAUUUUGAAAUACCAACCAUUCCUUUUCUAUGUAUUUGUAAGCACUAAACCAUUCAUCUAAUUAAUCAUAUGAUAAAAACACAUGUAAAUAUGUAUAUAUACUAGAUUAGGGAGAGAUACAUAUGCACUUUAAACACAUGCAAGUAUAUUGUAUUUCUGAACGCUGAUUGGCCGGUCGGCGCAAGGCUAACAAAAAGUCAGGGACUCAGGAGCACUUGGGUUGGGUCCCACGCGCAGAAGACUGAUGUGGGGCCGUUACCAUAAGCAAACGGUUUUUUUAUUUAAAUAUAUUUUUGGUUAAAUUAGAGUGGAUGGAGGUCGUAGUUUUAUCAGGUGAAGGCUAUCUCCAUAUUGUCCAAUAACAUGGGAAGAGCCCCGCCAAACAAAAAUUGGAUUAAAAUAUUUGUAGAAAAUUCUUAUCCAUUUAGAAUAUACCCACUCUUGGAAAACGGGUAUCCAUAAUUUUUUUUUUUUUGGUUAAUGAGAUAUCCAUAAUCGUUUAUGAGUAUAUAUUUACGUACUUCCUCCUGGCGGAUCAUUUGUUUUAAUCAAUAAUUUGUAUAUUAUAGUUUUAGUAUUACUAUAAGACACUCACGGCUUAGACUUGUCUUUGGGAUCUAUCAUGUACUAAAAAUAUCUGUUACAAUGCAUCAAACAAAAUCAACCGUGUGAUAUAUAUUAAAAAUAUUCUAGAGUAAUAUUUUGUGAAUUUAAUUGUCAAAUGUACGACGUCUCAGUUUAAAACUAGUCAAAAUAAAAGAAAUACCCUCAUUUUUAUUCUUUUUGAUUUUGUCUUAUUUUGGACAAGGAGAUUUCUAACACGAUCGAAUAAAUAUUUUUUAUAAUUCAUGUGAGAAACCAAAUUCCAUUCAAAAUGAAUCAAUCUAAUUCUAAUACCAAGUAAAUCAUUUUUAUAAAUAAUGGUAUUCCUGCAUUUUAUCAUCUGAUUAAUUGCAUUAAUUAGGCGAGUAUAAACGUCUAAGUAGUCUAAUCACCAAGUUUUCAAACAAAAUUUAAAACAUGACACUAUUUCAAUUUUCCAGAUUAAAAACCAUGUAUAAUUUAUAAAAGAAACUCACCAUAUCUCUUCUUACAUAGUACUACUUUUUAUCUUAUUUAAGCUUUGAGAACAAAAUCUUAAUAUUGAAAAUGAAAUACAAGUCCAGAGAGACUGCAAGGAAUUGGUUGCAAAUUUGCAAUGAUGUCAAUGCUCGAGAACUAGUCAGUGGUCUUCAUCAUAUUUGACGAGAAUGUAUCAUGACCUAAAUGCGUUUUUUAUGUGUUUUUUACGUAAACAAUAUUACUUCAACUUCGUCAGUCCUACCAGCCGAUUUAUUACAACAAUAUUAUACAUGCUGAAAAGAAAAAUUAAAAUUUUGAAACUGCGUUGCUUUAGGACUUUCAAUGAAUCAAUGUUUUAUGUUCUGACAUGUGCGUGCGCAAACACAUGGUGACGAAAUCUUUUGUCGGAUAAAUGUCAUCCAAUAAAAAUUAUACAUGUGUCUGAAAGAAAAACUUUGACUCUUUGACCACAAAUUGUAUUUUGUCGUGGUUCGCGCCAUAUUUUUGAGGACCAAACUAAUAAAAGAACUUUAGGAAUCUAAGGUAUUGAAUGGCGACAUGUUAAAAGCGGUAUUCUACACAAAGAAAUGAAAACCGCAUUACAUUUACCAAUCAAACAAUAUAAUAACACAUUUGCGUUUUUUUUUAUAAAAAAAACAGAAAACAGAAUGCGUUUUUUUAACAUGUAUAAUUGAUGGACCGCACACUUAAAAUGGAACGCAGAGUUUGUGCAGCAGUCCAUAUAGAAAAACGCACCGAGCAACUUUUUAAAAAAUUUAAUUUUUAAUUAUUAAUAUAUGAUAAACAUGUGUCACAAAAUAAUUUUUUGUGCAGUCUGUUUAAUUUAAAAUUUAAAUUGUUUUCAAAAUUUUGGGUUUUCUAAAUAUGAUAGAUGAUAUGAACAGAUAUAUGUAUGUUAUAUUUAUACAUAUUAUUUAUUUUUAUUAACAAAUAAAUUAUAAUCUUUAUACUUUUCUAAACACAUACCCUAUAUAUUAUUUAUAUUUAUAAUAAAAGACAAAAUUAUAAAUACAUUGUCAAAUCAAAAUAUUUGAUGAUUGUUUUUAUUAUAUUAUACUUUAUUUAUUAUGAAUUAUUGUUUUAAAUAUUUGAAGUUCUGAAUAUAUACAAUUGUUUAUUCAUUAACCAAAAUUAAUAAUUUAAUUCUAAUUAUAUUAACUAUUAUAUAUUUUUAUAAUAUAUUUAUCUAUAAUCUGUAAUCCGUACCGCUUUAAUUUUAUUCACCAUUCAAACAAUUUUUUGUGGACUGCAAGCUGUUUUUUUCACUAAUCAAACAUUAUUGUAUACCGCUAAUUAUAUAAAAACCGCAUUUGUCUCGCAAAUAUAUUUUUCCGCACGUACCGCAGUUGAACCGUACCACACUCUAAAACCGUUUUUUCCGCACAAUAAAAAACGCUGUCACUAUUCAGAGCCUAAAUCCAUUCGUUACUUUUACAUAAAUUUUCUAGAAUUUUAAAACGGAUUCACCAUAGGAGCACCGUGCUAUUUAAGACACGUGUGUUUCCUUUACAACAAUGCUAUGUUUAAAUAUGAAUAUAUAAAACAGAAACAUAGCAAAUUAAUAGAUAAAACAACUGAAUUUAGUUUUUUAUCAGAAAAAAACAACUAAAAAUUGAGUCGCAUAUGUACUACACAGCGUCGGCUUAAGAGUCUUACACAAUAGCUCAAUUAUACGCAGAAUUGCUAAAUCGGAUAUUAUUGGAGCACACAAUUAUUAAUGUGACAUGUGACGUGAACGAGUCGACCUUUGACCCACCAGAAAAAUUAGAAACCAUGGAACCACGUCUAAUCGAUUAGGGUUCUGACAAUAUUCCAUUCUGAGGAGGAUAAGAUUUCUGUUUUUUAUAUAUAAUUCUUUGAAUUCAGGUCACAUUAUAUAACCCUAUUAAUUAUUAAGUUACACCUCGUAUUUUUAUCAGUAUUCAGUUUGUUCAGUUUAAGUGUUAUGUUAUUGAUCAAACCUCAUGUUACUUUCAAGUGUCAAAACAUAGAGAACAUAACGUUCCCACUCUUCUAUUUUGUACGGUGAAAAAAAUAUCUCGACGUGUACUGGAUGUAGCUCUCGUUACUAGUACUUUGGGUGAUAGAGUACCCAGUAGCGGAUUAAAAAAAAAAGUUUAGUUAGAGACAUAAAUUAUUAGUAAGGGACACUUGUUUUUACCACUGAAUUUAUUUUUAAUUAAAUUUGUCUAAAUAUUUAAAAUUAAAAUAAAAAUAAAAAGAAUGGAGCACUGGACCCCACUUUUACUUGACUCGCUCUGCCCUGAAAGUACCCGGAUUUGAGUCAACUCACAAAAUACGUGCAAAUUUUAAAAAUUAGAUAGACAACAAUUCAUGAUAUUUUUUUAUAGAUUCAGUAUAUUAAAAAAACUGGAUUUUCUGUGGUAAAAAUUAAUAUUGGUGUUAAUCCAUCUGUCAAUAAAAUCUUAUAUAUUUGUUAACAUUUAUUUGCUAAAUUUAACCCUACGUAAAACAUUCAUAUCCACCUACUAGAUCAUGGUUAAUUAAGAACAUGCGUACUACCAUCAUCAUAAGCAAAAAGUUACAAUUAAUCGAGUUAUCAGAAAAAGACUAAACUCUAAAGUACCGCAAAAUAACUUAUUAUUAAAGUUAAACCAAAAAACCUUAUUAUUAUAUUAUUGGUUAUUGUAAAAAAAUCUUACACCAUAAUACUCGGGGAGUAUACAAUUAUUGAGGUGUCUCGUGAGCCACGAGUUCGUCCGUUAAACACAAUCGCUACCUUUCCCGAAACCAUGUUGUGCAUACAUACAUAUAUCCUUAUGUAUGUGUGUAUAGUAUACACAUCGUGUGUAAACACUAAUAAAUAUUUAAGAUAUAUAAAGACACUCAAAUUAUAAAUGAGGUGUCGAUAAAACUGACGUGGCGAUAACUUAUCAUAUAUGUUUUUGUAUCUUUUCCAUAAAUUAUAAAACUAAAAAGAAUUGAUGGUUAAGAUCACAAGCAUGAUUGAAAUUAUUUAGAUAAAAUAUCAUGAGGAUGAUCGAAUCAACCGUUAAUUUUAUAUUACAGUAUGUUGUUAUCCCAUUUUUUAAUGUUCCCCUCCACUUUUCAUGGACUUUAAUUAAGUCAUUGAUGACUCUAAUCAAACGAGACAGAAAAUCCCACUUAGCUAUAACUUUUUAUGAGGCUGUAUUAUAAAUUUUAAAUAUACUUUUUCUUUUUUUUUCUAGCGACAUUAUAUUGUAGGAUUUGGUAGAUAAGCCUAUGUCGUUGGCAUUCGCAACGUGAAAUCUUUAAUAUUUAACUUUUAGUUAACUGGCGAUAUUUUAACACGGGUACGGAUUCACCAAUCACCACCUAGCUAGGCAUUAUGUCAUAGGUCGUCAAGGAAACCUAAUUAACAUACAUAGGUUUCAUUUCACAGAAUAUAUCAAAUAAACCAAAUUUAGUUUUUUUUUAAUCAGUGAUUAAAUAUAGAACACACAAGUAUAUCUACUCUUUUUGGAUGGACAAGGUGGAGAAAGAUCUAUCAAAACUUAAGAACAACAUAAGGAAAUGAUCAAUUGAUCAUUUGUCGAAUAUUGUAUGCGAUAGAUAAAUAUUAAUAUACAUCGAUGACGUUCGGGUAAUGAUACUGUUCCCCGUAUGCAAAGUACUGAUUCUAUUAAUUUGUUCCCAUGCAAAUCGGAAAAACUCAGAAUUUCACUUCUUUUAUAGUUAUCUUAUAGGUUUAAUGUCGUAUUGGCUGGCGAUACCACUUUAUUCAUCUUCACUACAUCUAGCAGCAAUAAUCAAUUUUUAUUUUAAUUUUCCUUUUAAAUUAUUGUAAAAAUUAAAAAAACAGUCACGCAUCUGCAAGAACUUGGAUGAUAAUUUGAAAACUUUUAGUAAUUAGUUCAUAAUCCUUUAAUUGUACAUCGAUCCUAUAAAAAGACUAUAUCCAUUCUCAAUUUUUAUCAUGCCGCUGCAAAACUUAAUACGUGCAUGUUUCUUCUUCUUCUUUUUUUUGGCACGAAUGCAUGCAUGUUUCAUUUUUGUUUUCUUAUAUGUUCGACUACUAUACGAUGAAUAUUCUAAUAAUUGAUUAGAAUAUUUUCUGUAUGUUUUGGACAUGUUUUUCUUGUAAUGAUCAUUCAUAAAAAUUUAUAAAAGUUUGUAAUCUGCUAGUUUAUAUUAAUAACGUUGCGAUGUUAUAUCAAAUUUGGAAGUGUACGGGGGUGAAUUAUAGUUACGUUGGAAAGUCUUACAAAGAUUUAGGAACCGUAGACAACUGUUCUAAGAACAUAAGAUCGUGUAAGUCCAAAAGGGCUUAUCUCGAAACCAAGUUGUCGAAGAAACGUGUAUUACCCAUUAGAUCGGUUUUUAGAACAUAAUUAUAUAUGAGUGGUUGCCAGAAAAAGAAUAUAUAUAAGUGAAGAUGUAUUAAAAGUUUAUACCUAACGUUGACGGUUUAAGAUAAUAACUAACUAAUUAAAGAAUAAAUAAAGUAGUGACUUUUCCUGAUUCAUUACCUUUCAAGGCUUCAAGUACUUUUUAGUAUAUCAUCUUGUUUUAGUCGUAUGUAAAUCAAAUGGAGCGCAUGAUUUUAAUUUUGUUAAGAAUACGUUUUUAUGUAUACGAGACAUAAAGAAACCUAUUCAUGAUAAAGUUCACGGAACUUAAUAUGCUAGUAAUUUGAUCUAAAUAAAAUGGCUCAAAUAAAAUAUAUUAAAUUGUUGAUCAUUUAGUGAAAGUUGACCCGAGAUGGGUUGCAAUACGUACCCAUUAUACGUACACACAUAUGAGAUAACUAUGUAUAUAUAUAAAACUUUUUUCUUUCUACAAAAUGAUGUAUAUGAAAUUUAAAGUUAUUCAGGCGUAUACAUGUUUGAUAGUUCAUUCAAAGAUAAGUAUACAACUGCGUUUGCAAAACAGUUUAGUUAGGUGUUACGGUGGGAAAAAAUUAACAGAAAUUGUGUUUGUAAAAAAAAAAAUUAAAAGGAGAAAGAUUAAGAGAUGAUAUCUUCACAUUUAGACCCAAAAAAAAAGAAGAAGAGAUGAUAUGGAAAAGACGAAGAUAAAAAGAGAGACAACAAAAAAAAAGCAAGCGUGAUGGAGAGAACUAGAGAAGAAGUGAAAAAGAGAAGGAUGCCACGUGUUAUAUGGCAGAACUCGGUUAUGAGGCAAAUACGCGGGCUAUCUCUAAAACGUGUCCUCUUCACUAACGACGUACCAAACCAAUUCGAUUUCACUUCUCUACCCAAACAAAAAAAGAAAAGAAAAAAGAGAGAAAGAUAGACGACACAAUGGUCCAAUCGGAGAUUAGUGAGACAAUACAGACCCAAAUGUCCUUUUAGUCAUCUAUUUACGUGUUAUUUUCUUCUUAUUUUAUCCAUUUUCUAAGAUUUUUGUUUUCCUUUUUAAAAUGUCCAAAUACACCUAAUUUUAUAAUGCAAUUUUUUUUGUUUUUACACGAGGCCAUAUCAUGAUUAUACAAAGCUGGUUUGGUGUAGGGAUUCUUCCUUUCGAUUUCUAUAUGCUUCUAUUCUGUUAAACUAUUAGGCGGAGGUUCUAGAAAAUUAUUACGUCAAGAAGUGUGUUUUCUUUCGUUAAAUAUAUAAUAUGCGAAGUUUGUUUCGUUAAUAUAUAUAUGUGUCGACAUAUUAUUCCCACAAAUUCGAAACUCUUCUAGUUCUUGCAAUCUCAUAAUUAAUUAAUGACUCGAAUCUUUACAUAACAUAGACUUAAACAAGUAACUCUGAAUUCGUAGAUCGAGGACUUAUAAUAUGAUUAGUAAAAAUAAUAGGGAAAAAUAAUAUGCUAGUGUGUUUAGACUUUUAAAGGUACCAUCCACGUAUAUCAUAAGUUUAGAUCUUAAAUGGUCAUAUAAAUAAAAUAACAUAUAUUGGGGAUAAAAAGAAAUAUAUCCAACAGUAACGAUGAUUUCUAAAAACUUAAAAAGUGAUUCAGUUAGUAUUUGUUGCCGACAAGUCUUUGGGUAAAUUGAUUUAAACUUAAUAUGUAAGAAUAAAUGUGAUAAAAAAAAAAAACAACACAAAAAUUUGAGAAUUCCUGUUUGAGUGUUGACCCAAUAUAUAUAAAAGGAGUGGUCGAACAUCUCUAUAGAUCUCGUCAACUAAAGAUCUAAGUGAAAACAACAACAAAAAAAAAACAUUAUCAAAGUUAAUAUCUUAGAGAGCAAGUCAUAUGAUGUAACACACCGACUUUUGAAGAUUAAAUUGCGUGCGUAAAGUACUUGUGUUCAAUUAGUGAUUUUGUUCAUUUCUAUAAGUUAUGAUUUUUUGGGUAACUGGAUUUUAUGAUAUUAGACAUCUGAAGGAGCUACUAAUUAAGUAGUGGACGAUAUUUUUUCGUUAUUCAGGUAUAUACAGAGCGAUCGAGACACAAGAGUAUGUUAUGUUAUGUAUCAUUUGCGUUUUCAGUUUUCAUUUUAGGUUUUCAAUAGUUUCAAACAUGAUAAGUUAGAAAGUUUCAAACGUGCCAAAAGUUUUUUGGUACAAAAUUUAGUUUUUAAACAUGAUAGCUUCACUAAUUGUGAUAGAUUCAGAAAUUGGCUCCAAAUGUUCCUAUCUCGCGUUUCAUUUGUGUGAUUCGGCUCCUAAAAGUAGGUAUGUACUACCUUUUUAUUCAAUGUGUAUUUGCAAAAGAGGUUUGGACCUCUUUAUUCUCGUCAAGUCACAUUUCACCUCCCAUGGAUCUCUUGGACAUUUUAGUGUGGAUCAAGACUUAAGACUCCAACUAAAGAUGCGAAUCUCAAUGUUAUUUGUAAACUCUGACUACAUGCCACGGUUUAUGUAAAUUUUGACAGGCGGACGGUGUUCAACAACAUCUAGACCGUGGCUAGUCAAUCCUCGAACGCAUUCUUCUGUUCUUGGUGCAUUAUUUCAUGUAUUUUCACAUCUCGCUCUUCUGAAACACGACUUGAUUGCUCUAUUAUAUUAUGUUGCUUGUGUCACUUUACUAGAUAGUUAUUAUAAGUUCUUCGUAUUCUUAUCUUUGUAAACUAUUUUUUUUUUUUUUUGUAAAAGUUCAAAAUGUAGAUGAGAUGUCUGUGUGCUUGUGUCCGUGCAAAUAAGAAAUGUCUACACACACAAGAAAGAAAAACUCUUCAAGUCAAGUAAUAGGACAAGCUAAAUGAUGUUUCAAUACUUGUAUUACUCGUCUUUUAAAUUUUAACACCACUGGCUAGACCACAUCACAUGUAGAAGGAAUUAUGAAGUCUAAGAAAUUUUCAUGUGGAGAUGGAUAUGCCAAGUUGGAGUUUGCAAACAAGAAGCUCUUGAGCCACGACAUAAGCCAAGUUGAUGAAACAUCAUAUUGCCAAUAAUUGCAUAAAAACGUUUUUGUUGGUAUUUAAAAACAUAUAUAACUUUUAUUCAUGUAAUUUUAGGCUCAAUAACCACAAAAAAUUAACAAUUAAACAUAAGAAAUUGAUUAAAAUAUACGGUGUAUAAACAAAAUAAUAUUCAAAUAUGCCCCGAUUAAAAACAAACACAAAAUGGCAUAUAUCCACCUUCAAAAAUAGAUGAGUGAAUCUAAGUAUUCUUCAGUCUAUUUAGAACUUAAUAACAUUCUAUACUACGUAUUCUAUGUAGAAUGGCAUAUUCACCUUCAUAAAAAAAAAAAGAUAAAGAUAAUUUUGUCCCUUUUUAGUCAAAAAAUAAUCAUGUUACUCACCUAAAAUUUCUAUUUAAAGGCUAUAUUCUUAAUUUUAAUUUGUUUAUUAUAUUAAGAAUAUAACAUUUUCAAUAAUUUUGAAAAUUAUGUUACCCAUUCAUCAAUUUUGUUAGAGUUCAAUUAAGAAUAUAACAUUUUUAAAAAAAUUAGGUGAGUAACAUGAUCUAUUCAUCAAAUUUGUUAGACGAAAUUCAAACUAUUUUAGAAUUUGUCUGCACUUGAAUUUCAGGUAGACAAACUAUGCCCUACAAUGCUUCGAACCACCGAUCGCAGGUAAGUUGGAUAUUUUUUUUACUAAAAUAGAGGUUUUUUCACAACCGAUGUAUCUUCAAGUUGGCAAAAGAUUGAUAGUUUUUGUUAACAAACUUAGGAACAAAAGAAGCCACAAAGUAGACAAAUGGAGUUAAAGAUUGAAGGGGAAGAUUGAAGGGGAUGCAUUUGUCUAAGUGUGAAAGGUCUCAACUUUGAACCAUAACAUAUUACUCUGUUUUUUCUGUUUGUUCCCAAAGUACCCUUUUUCCCUUCAUACCCACUCACUCCAUUCCUCUCUCUGUCACUGAUUCAACACGUGGCCACCCAUAUGGGACCCACCAUUUCCCUUACCCACCUCCCGGUUUAUAUAAACCCUUAACACUUCCUCGCUCCUAAACCAACUCUCCCUUCUCUCUUCUCCUCUCUUUCUCCACUUCUACAAAAACAAAAAAAAAGCAAAAAACAGAGCCUUAACAAAUCGGAAAAUUGAACUCUCACUUUAAGCACCAAAUACUGAUUGCGCAAACUUAAAAAAAUGGCUUCUUUCACGGCAACGGCGUCGGUCUCUCGGAGAUGGGUCGGUGGCAAUCAUACUCAGCCGCCAUUAUCGUCUUCUCAAAGCUCCGACUUGAGUUAUUGUUGCUCCAUACCCAUGAAUAGUGGUGUCCAAAAAAAGCUCACUGUUUCUUCUGCUCUUCACACUCCUCCCGCUCUCCAUUUCCCCAAGCAAUCCUCCACCUCUCCUGCCAUUGUUGUUAAUCCCAGAGCCAAAGAAUCCGACACUAAACAGAUGAAUUUCUUCCAGAGAGCGGCGGCGGCUGCUUUGGACGCGGCGGAGAAUUUCCUCGUCAGCCACGAGCGACAACAUCCGCUACCUAAAACCGCCGAUCCUAGUGUUCAGAUCGCCGGAAAUUUCGCUCCGGUGAAUGAACAGCCCGUCCGGCGUAAUCUUCCGGUGGUCGGAAUAAUACCCGAUUCCAUCAAAGGUGUGUAUGUGCGCAACGGAGCUAAUCCGCUUCAUGAACCGGUGACUGGUCACCACUUCUUCGACGGAGACGGUAUGGUUCACGCCGUCAAAUUCGAAGACGGUUCAGCUAGCUACGCUUGCCGGUUUACUCAGACAAAUCGGUUUAUCCAGGAGCGUCAAUUGGGCCGACCGGUUUUCCCCAAGGCCAUCGGCGAGCUUCACGGUCACACCGGAAUUGCUCGACUCAUGUUAUUCUACGCCAGAGCUGCAGCCGGUAUAGUCGACCCGGCACAUGGAACCGGAGUAGCUAACGCCGGUUUGGUUUAUUUCAACGGCCGUUUAUUGGCGAUGUCGGAGGACGAUUUGCCUUACCAAGUGCAGAUCACUCAAGGUGGAGAUUUGAAAACCGUUGGCCGGUACGAUUUUGACGGGCAAUUGGAAUCCACAAUGAUCGCCCACCCGAAAGUCGACCCGGAAUCCGGCGAGCUUUUCGCUUUAAGCUACGACGUCGUUUCGAAACCUUACCUGAAGUACUUCCGAUUCUCACCGGACGGAACGAAAUCGCCGGACGUCGAGAUCCAGCUCGAUCAGCCGACGAUGAUGCACGAUUUCGCGAUCACGGAGAAAUUCGUGGUGAUACCGGACCAGCAAGUCGUUUUCAAGCUGCCGGAGAUGAUCCGCGGUGGCUCUCCGGUGGUUUACGACGAGAACAAGGUUGCGAGAUUCGGGAUUCUAGACAAAUACGCCGAGGAUUCGUCGAAAAUCAGGUGGAUUGAUGCUCCGGAUUGCUUCUGCUUCCAUCUCUGGAACGCUUGGGAGGAGCCGGAAACAGAGGAAAUCGUCGUGAUCGGGUCGUGUAUGACUCCACCGGACUCAAUUUUCAACGAGUACGACGAGAAUCUCAAGAGUGUCCUCUCUGAAAUUCGCCUGAAUCUCAAAACCGGAGAAUCCACUCGCCGUCCGAUCAUCUCCGACGGAGAACAACAAGUCAACCUCGAAGCAGGGAUGGUCAACAGAAACAUGCUCGGCCGCAAAACGAAAUUCGCUUACCUCGCUUUGGCCGAGCCCUGGCCUAAAGUCUCCGGGUUCGCUAAAGUUGAUCUCGCCACCGGAGAAGUCAAGAAACAUCUCUAUGGGGAUAACCGUUACGGUGGAGAACCUCUGUUUCUUCCCGGUGACGAGAAAAACAACGGAGGAGAAGACGACGGACACAUCCUCUGUUUCGUUCACGACGAGAAGACGUGGAAAUCGGAGUUACAGAUAGUUAACGCCGUUACUUUGGAGGUUGAAGCAACGGUUAAACUUCCGUCAAGAGUUCCGUAUGGAUUUCACGGCACAUUCAUCGGAGCCAAUGACUUGGCGCAGCAGGUGUGAAGAUUAUGUGUAUAUACACAUUCCUAUACAUAUAUAUAUAUACGUGAUGAUGAAGAAGCUUCUAGAAGAAAAAGAGAGAGGGAUUUACCAGUGGGAUGCUCUGCAUAUACGUCCCCGGAAUCUGCUCCUCUUGUGUUUUCUUUUUUUGAUUUUGCUCUGUUUCUCUGUAUUUUUUUUUCCUCUUGGGGUGCGGUUUGCUAGUUCCCUGUUUUUUGGGGUCAAUCUAGAAAUCUGAAAGAUUUUGAGGGACCAGCUUGUAGCUUUUGGGCUGUAGGGUAGCCUAGCCGUUCGAGCUCAGCUGGUUUCUGUUAUUCUUUCACUUAUUUGUUCAUAAUGAGAAGUAUAUAUAAAUAUAUUAAACACAAAACUUUGUUUAUAUAUGUCUGUAUAUGUUCUAGCAAACAUGACCAAAAUUAUAUCGGAUUUAACAAUACGCUAUGAGUUCAAUUUUAGUUUAGUCUUCUCCUUUUUUUACUUCUAGAAACGUUUUCUUGUUUGUGCCAUCAUCAAGUGAUUUUAUUGGUAAAAGUAUAUAUUUUCAAUCUUAAAUAAUGGACCAAUGAGAGACAGACAAGAGUCAAGUAAACUUUUGGACUUCAAGACAAAAUGUAAUAACCAAAUCACACGCCGUAUAAAUUUAGUUAGUCAAUUUUGGUAUUUGCAUGGAAGAGAAUCGCCAAAGUCAGUUUCAGUCAAUUUCGAAAUAGAAACCAACGAGUGAAGUUAACCCACGUCAAAAAAGAGUUAAGUAUGUAAAGGACAUCAGUAACUGGUCGUUGUCAUUAAAAAAAAAAAAACCUAUUGUUAUUUUGGUAAGCAGAACCGUAAACAUUGGAUAUCUGGAGUGAUGGGUGGUAACACAGUGGAGAGACCAAUCAAAAAUAGUGGAAUUGUGACGAAAUUAACGGCACUAUUUUUAUAUAAUACAUAGCAACGCAUUUGUUGCUUUUUCUUAUAUAUAUAUUUCUAAUGUUGUUUUUAAGAUGCAAAACUUAAUCUGAUAGGGUGAUCUAUGAAUGUUGGGUGUAAAAAUAAUUAAAUACGUAAACAAAGAAAGCAAAGUCAACUAUCGGAAAGAGUGUUUCGGUGUUUUGAGAUUAUGACAUUUCCAAAGUAAUUGGUUUGCAAUGAUUCACAUUUGUUAUCAUUUAUCAACUCUAGUUAAGGAAGAGUAACCUUAUGUUGCUUGUAUUGAUUUAAAACCUGGUAAGUUUUACGUACACGUUAGUCAUCGAUCGUAUUGAUCUACCUAAACAAUUUGUUGUCAAAGUGUUAAUAACGACUAUACGUAUUUGAACACAACACCCAUAUAUAACAACCCUUCAAUUACUACUCCAUGUUUAUUUCGAAACAUUGAGGGUUGAAAUUUUGAAUUUUUUUUUUGUUAUAAUUACCAAAGAAACUUUUCUACGUAUUGUCUGCUGUAUGUGUGUGUGUGUGUACAUAUAGGAUAAGGGAAAUAGUUAAUUGUGUAUGGUGUGCAAACUGCAAAAGAAGCACAAACUGAACAUUCCAUAGUUAAUGCUAAAGGAUCAAAAGCACAUUACUUCACUUUCAUAAUUACACGAAAAUAUCUCCUUAAAAAAAAAAUCUUAACAUGUUUACCAAAAAAAAAUCUCCUUUUUUUUGUCAACACACGAAAAUAUCUCAAACACCAAAAAGUGUUAAAACAGAGGUCAUAACAUGAUUUUGAAAGAAAAAAAAUGUCAAAAAGAAGUAUUAAUAUUUGGCCAACUUGGAGAUAUCUUCAUAUAUGGUGGAUUUUUAAUUUGUUUGUUUGUUCACGUUCUCUUCCAAUACACUAGAAACCCACUAAAUAACUUUCUUAUUGGAUACUAAUCGUAGUAUAUAUAUACACUGUGUUUAGGUUUUUAGAGACUACUUCACGUAUAAAGAUAUGAAAUCGAAAAUUAGUUUUUGAUUUCUUUCAGGGUUUAUUGUAACUACAAAAUAUUAUGAAGUAAGCCGAAGAAUUAUAAUAGAUAUAUAAUACAAAUAUAAUAUGUUCCUGACUGAAAGACUUUUAAGAUUUAACGGUUAAGAAUGAAGGUUUGAACAAAAUUGGGUCUUCUAACCACUAUUUCGAUCAUAAAUAGUUACUAUGGAUGCUUGAAAUGACAAACAUAUUCAAAUAUUCAAUAUAUUUUAGUGUGUAAUUUGGGUUUCGGUGUGAGGUUUCCUGGUUAUAAAAAAAAUUAUUAGAAAAACUUGGUUAAUGUAAAGUUUUUUUUUUGCUUACAAUUACGUGAUCUAUAUUUUAUAAAUAAUAUGGAAAGCGAUCGUUUGUGUGUGUGUUCUUUUUUUGUUUGUUUUACAUUCGUGUUUAUUAUUUAUACACAAGCGUCUUACAGUAUAUAGUUAUACACGCCUCCAGUGUCGAGUAUCAUCCUUUAUGUUGAUAUUCGAAAAGUUUUAGGUAAUAAUAUCUUUAAAAUAAAUAACAGUUGUGAAAGUUCGUUGGAUGCAAACAUAUAAUCAGAAAAAGAUUCAUUGGAUACGGCGAAAUAAUUGAUUCAAACAAAAAACAAAAAAAAUAAAGGAUACGACGAAAUGUGUGGGUUGCAUUGGCAUUACAAUACUUAAACAUUUGAUUUCGGCCGUCCACGUUUCAGUGUCAAUAAUGUUAUAAUAUACAAAUAUAUAUAUGUGAGGGAAUCUGUUGAAGCCAACAAUUAGAUGUUUACUAUUUGCCCAAAGUAGAAGGUGACUUUUUCCCCACCUAAUUCAAGCCUAACUACUUUCCUUUAGUGGAAGGUUGGCACUUACGAAUUCUAUUUAUCUAUUGGCAGUUACUACUUACUCUUACCUUAUUUAGUCAGCGAAAUCCGCCAUUGUGAUUCGCAGAACCUCUUUUUCCUAAAGAAUUCGCAAGACGAUAUGCUAACAUGUGAUUCUUAUAUAAAAAUAAUUUUGAUAUAUAUUAUAUAUAUUUAAAGGUUACAUAUAGACUACAUGUGGUAGGUAUCGUAAGGUUCUUCAUAGCAAAUAUGUGUGCUUUAAUAUUAUUCCCAUAACGGUAGAUUUUGUAUCUAUCCUAGUAUGGCGAAGGCGGACCUUUCCAUAAUGAUAUGGUCCAAUUGUGGAUAACAAAUAAUUUAGCUCAAAAUAAAUGGAUGUAAAGUUAUUUCUUACCAUCGUGAAAAUUGAUAAUGGAAUAGCGGAACUACGAACGGACACUUGUAUCAUUGGAAAAAAGUAUACGAAAAAAUCACAAUCAUUUUAGCAUUUUCUACGAAUUAUCAAUCAAACCGCAGUACAGUAUCUAGUAAAUUAGUAACUGCCGUUAAGUACCUAUCCCAAAAUAAUGCUUCGAAGGCCAUAAAGUAUAAAAAGUUAAAAACUGUAUCUCUCUCUCUCUCUCUUUCUCUCUCUCCUCUUUUGUUUUCUAAUUUCUACCUUAUUUGUUCACUCUUGUGACCUGGCCAUUGACUAGUUUUGCGGCGCUUUAUUUGGCUUUUCCUCGAAUGGGAGAGACCACAACAAAUAAUGUUAGGAGUUUAAUGUUCUUCUCGAAAUAUUAAAAUGUAUGUUCCUCUUGAUUAUAAAAUAAUGAAAACAUUUUGUAACGAUCGAAAAAUGAAAGUCAUGCAAACAAGUGUUAGCGAAAAUGACGAAAUACCAAAGUUAUAUGAUUUUUUCUUGCAAUACAGCAAAACACAAAAAAUAAGAUAUAUUACAUAUUACAUAUGCAAUCUUAGUGAAAAACGAUUAUGGAUACAAACCAAACAUCAAACAAUUAUAUAAUGUUGUUUUGUCAAUUUCGGAUUUCUAUAAGUUAUAUAUACCUCUUUUUUUUUGCUUUGAGAUAUUAUCAUGGCUAUCUAACCAAUAAAGCAUCAAAUGAUUGAUCAACGAAAUGUCGAAGGAUAUUCUCAUUGACAAUAUGUGUCGUAUUAUAUAUUAUACAUGUCGGUAUAAAUUUUUUUGGUAUGGAGCCGAACCACGUGGCAAAUGACUACAUAUGCUAAUUACGAUCAGCCAUUGAACUAAAACUACGAAAUGCUAGCUAUAGUAUAUUGGAAUAGAUCCAAAUGUACAAAUAAAUAAUAACAUAAUAAAUAGUGGCAAAAAAUAUUGAGGGGACUAUGCUUUCAGCUACUUGACUUUUAAUAAUCAAAGUGUAGACAGCAUUCUAGUAAACUAUUAGUUAUUACUGAACUUUUACAUGUGUUUCUAUAUUGGGAAGUCAAAACAAAAGGAUGAUUCAUUGACGGUAGCGGAUACACAAACAUGUAUUUACGUGUAUAAAUUUGUGUGUACAUAUAUAUUAUACGUUUAAAAUUGAAAAAUAUGUGAGUAUAAGUUAUACACUCGAAUUGUGGUGUGUAUAUAUAUAUAUAUGUUUGUAUAAUUGAUAUAGCCACCUUGUAUAAAUACAUAUACAUGUUUAUAUAAUUGAUAUAGCCACCCAAAGCCCAAAGGUCCCUAACUAACUUUGUCGAAUUAUCAAAAGAAAUAGGGGUUUAGGGUUUUAGGAGUGUUAUGUCGUCAAAUAUAUCGAAUCUGGGUUUUUCGGUAAAUCACCACUACCUCUCAAACGUAUAACACAUCUACAUGUCCAAUAUAUAUAUAUAUUUUUAAAAUCUCUCUCUCAAGUCUCAAAGUUACCUACUAAUUAAAUAAGUCUUCGUCAUUUUCUAAUUUUGGACUCCUUAAAACUAGCAAGUCCAAUGAGAGUACUGGAAUUUAUUUACGUGUUAUAUGAUAUUUUUUUUUCCAUUUGCUUACUACUGCUACGAUUGUCGUCGAUAUAUACAAAUUACUUGAUCUUGCCUCCAGUAGAUGAUGGUUAUCGUUGGGGCACGUGUUCGUAAGCAUAAGAUCGUUGUUGUGGAUAAAAUCGAGAAAUGAUUAUUGCAAGAAAGAGCGAAUAAAAUUUUGAAAUGUGAAAGAAUGGGGGAGAGUGACGUAUAAGAUGAUGUAUACCACUAUAAUCGUGCCUCAUAUAUUAUAAAAUAUAAACGCUAACAAUGCACGCCACAUUACUUAAACCUCCAAAACGUUAAGCAUAUAUAACUAUAUGUAUAUGAGGAAAAAAAAAAUUAUAUAUAACUAUAUGUAUACUCACGAUCUCAACUAACUAGUAACUACCAUAUAUUAGUGUCAUCGAUCUAAUAAUAUAGAUUCGAAUUUUACUUGGAUCAUUAUAAACUAAUCGAUUCGUUUGUAUAUUUGAUGCUGAAUAUAUACAUUAUUUAUAGAUACAUACAGUUAAAGCUCCCCAGAAAGGAACCAACAGCAUUAAACAGCUGGGGGAUUUUGUGUUGUGUGGAGGUCGACCUUUCAGCGUUAAGAUAGGCCAAUCAUGUUUUUUCCUUUUUAAAAUUUUUGAUGUUAUUUAAUAUUAUUAAUUUACUAGUAUUUAUUUAAUUAUACUACUACUAUAGUACAAUCUUCUUUUGUUCGACUGAGUAUAGUACAAUUUUUUAAUAAGUUAUUAUCUCACUCUUUAACAUCCGUCAUAAUUUUUGAAUGUUCACGUGAGGAUCACACAUACACUGAUUAAGAUGUUACCCAUUAUCCUUUCUAUAGGUUGUUGCUAUAAUUUUAUCGAAAUCGAUCAUAGUUAGAAAACAAAACUAACACUAUAGUUCUUGGUUUGAUUUAGUUCGAUUCGUUUCUGCACUUAAGAAAUACAAUUUUGUAGGCGCGCAAUUUCCUUUCAACACAAAGACCAACACAAUGUUGCUCUAUAAUUUACACAAACAAUGUUGCAAACUAACACCUCAGGCAAUUCGAUUAUGAGAUUCGCUCCACUAAUUAUAAUAAAAUUAGGCCUGUCAAUAAUAUAAUUAGUUGAAAAAUACUUAUUCGCAUUGCCAAUAGUUUGUAUUGAGAUACAAAAUCUAAUGAAUGUGAUUAGAUAAAUUAGUGACCUAAUAAUUUGUUCGAUUGGAAGAACAUUCGUCAUGUAGGUCUAGGACAUGGAACGAGUUCCACCAUCUACAAAAUCGUCAUAAUCCCAUCUUUUUGUUAUUAGAGAUAUCUAAAAUAACAAAAGAUUAUCCAACUUCUACAAAAAAAUUAAAAAUUAGUUUUGUCAGCCCAAGACUUACCGGUUACACACACAAAGAAAACAAACAUAUGAAUGUGAUAUAAACUUGGAUAUACCUAUGUUUCAAAUCCUUAUCCAAGAUAUUAUUAAUUAGCUUAUAUAUCUUGCAAUAUCGCGACAAAAAGGUCUCACGCCUGACANNNNNNNNNNNNNNNNNNNNNNNNNNNNNNNNNNNNNNNNNNNNNNNNNNNNNNNNNNNNNNNNNNNNNNNNNNNNNNNNNNNNNNNNNNNNNNNNNNNNAUCUGUCUGGAGGCAGCACAAUGGACCGCUUAAGAUGAUACGAAAACUUAGCACAUGAUUGAAAGCCACAAAAUGGAUAAAGGAGACCGAUUUUCAUUUAUUUCCUAUUUAUUUUAUUUGGUUUUCGGUAUUUAACUUAAAAAUCAAUAUGCUUUUUCAAUCAUCAUCGUCAUAUUCCCGAAAGAGAUAAAAUGUCGAAAUCAGCCACGCGCAAAAACCUCUGGACGUAUUAGAGGUUUGGAAGGCCGAGAAGGACACAACCACGUGACCGUCAACGUAACCCACACAAACCCAGUCUCAUAGGGCACUCACUGAUUAAAAAGUAGUAGUAUUAGAAGAAGAAGAACACACCCUCUUUCUUCAACAUUCUCUCAUCUCUUUAAUGACAUGAAAACGAUGCUUCUUCUUAUAUGACCCACUUCGAAAUUGAUACCGAAAUUGGAAAAUCUGAUAAGUUCAAGAGAACAAAGAAUAAAGCAAAAGGCUGCUAAAUCAACGCGCCACCAUAUUGGAACUGCACAAAUAAAAUUUUAUGCUAAUGAAACAAUAAGACUGCCAAAUCAAAUCCGCCGCCAUCCAAGUGAAGAAUUAUGUGAGAUGAUCAACUAAUGCAACACAGGGAACAUGAUGCAUCAUCCUUUAACCUAUCAAGUUGCAAACUUUAGAGAAGAUAAAACCCAAAACCAAAGAUAGGAAAACGUUUCAGCUAUAAUCAGAUAUGACUUAAUUAUUGACACAGACCUGCAACCGAUGUUAGAAAGAGUUCCAACAUUCCAGAGCAGUGCAUAAGAGGAAAGCCAUGGCUAUAGUUAAAAACUUAAAAAUCCCUUCUUGAACAGCUUAUCGAGCAGGAACCACAAUAUUUUAAGGUCUUAGUACAAUAAUGGACAUGGAUAAUAAACCAACUAAAUCUGAGAAACUAAUUCUUUCACAAAGGUUUGCAAUUUAGAAUAUCUCAUUACAUUAAAAGGAUCUAUAAAGGUAAAGAUUGAGAAUUUCUGAAGAACUAACUGAUCAAAGUUCAAAAAGACCAUAGCUCAUAUCAGGCAAUCACUCCACAAACAGAGAAGUUUCAAAGAAACCAAACCUAAUAAAGCCUAUUGUUUUUCUUCUUCGAAGUAACAGUCGUCAUUUCGGGUUUCGGAUACUUCUCUGCUAAGAUUGGAUCUAACCACUUGAGGGGAUGACGAUUGAAGAAAGGCCAGUUAGGGACAGUGAUCAUAGUCGUGAAAAGCACAACUCCGGAAUAUAUCAGCAUCAUCGUCCGGAACGAAGACGUUGCAUACCCAGCAAUGAAAGCAACUCCGCCAAAGACUAAGAGCAGAAUCUGCAUCAGCUCCUCAGCUAGCUUUUGCCCUUGCCAAUCCAUCUCUAUAAUUUGAAAAAGUCACCACAAGUUUCCAUAAAAUCAGAACCCUUGAUUGAAUUUUUGCAAAUCAGAAACCCAUUAUGAAAAUGCUAAUUCCUAGCCUAAAGGACACCUUAAUUACGUCUACAAUGAACACUAACUUCGAGCACAUUUCCCAUUUCUAAACUAAUUAGCAAAGAUCGAGUCUCAAUUUAAUUCGUACCUGCAAAAAGGAUCAAACUUGAUCGCCUAGGAAGAAUCGCGUCCGGAAAAACUAGAUCCCAAGCCGGCAAAUGGAGUCAAGACGAAGCCGGCGAAUAUCGACUGUCCAGAUUCGCCGUUGUCUUCAAACCAACGGCCUAGAUUCUACCAAGUCGUAAAAACGUUCUAUAAAAACAUACCGUGCUAAACGCCUUGCUGUUUCUAUGUUCCGUAUCGAAAACUUGCAGUCUGUCAUAACACACAAUGAACACCGUGUCGUUUCUCGAAUCCUCGGUUAUUAGGCUCUGAUGAUAUAUCGGGCUCAUAAACAUAACGGCCCAGUUUCUCAUAAGUUAUAGAAAGGCUUUAGAUACAAAGCAAAGCAAACAUUUUCUUUUUCGUCGACGGAUAACAAACUCGCCGGAAAGACUCGGGAGAGAGAGCGAACGACGGUGGUCCGUUAUCAAAGUGGGCGGGAAGGUUUGUUGAAGAUGAUCGGCCGUCGUGCUGGAAUGAAUCGAGUUGUUAUGAGGAGGGAUGACUCCUUUCUGACUCGUUUUGUUGACUCAGUAUUCUAUUUCUUCCGAUUGGCUGAGUUUGAGAUCCUGUUUGUUCUGUUCAUCUUAAUAACCUACGUCAUCUUCAAAGAUCUGGUGAUUUCUCCCCAAAUUCGUAGAAUUUUUUUCAGUAUCAUGACGAUUUCGUAGUAAUUUCUCUCAUGUUGAUUGCUCCUCUGAACGGUUUUGUUAUUUUUGCAGACGGCGAGGCCGGAGUACAAUCGGAUUCUUGUGGAUAAACCCGGUGGAUCUGACGUCUGGCCGUUCUAAAAAUGAAGAAAAAAUAGGAAUUUUGUUUUGAAUGGUUAGUACUACUCUUGUUACUGUAAAACGGUGUGAGCUUGUACACGGCAAUGAACAGCUUAUCUUUCUUCUCUUGUACAUGUCUUUGUUCAAUUGGUCAGUGUAAUUCUCCUUCCAUAGUUAUAAUGCAUCGUUUUCGUCAAAUUCGUGAUCUCGCUCGGAAUGUUAAUCUUUGGGAAUCACAAGUAACUGAUUAGUGGGGAUAAGUAAAUGGAAUUUAGCAUCUGUGUUUCAGUUGAGCUCAAUCUACGCAUUAGGAGGUGAUGAGAUAGUUUCAUGGUUAAGUAGAGUAUGCGUUUUUGUUUCAUAUCACAGAGACUUAUCUAUGUUGUUUAAGCAAGAAUAAUGGACUGAAGGAAGAAUAACCCAAAUAGCAUUACAGAAUCUCUAGGCAUAGUUUGUGAUUCGAUAUAGGGAGAAACAAGUCUUGAGAUAAAUAGCAGAGUAGAAGCCAGUUGACCAAUCAGAAAAUGAAUAUGUUUAGCCAUUACAUGCUCUGUAUUGUUGCUGGUUGUUGACGUUCCCUGGUUGUUUUGGUCUCUCUAUAACCUGGCCAAAGGGCGUGGAGUGUCCCAUUCGGUGGUAAUAUGGUUACGGGUGAUUUCCUUGAGAGACCGGCAGCCACUUAGUGCCAUGGUCAGCUCGAACUCAUCACGUAGCAUUUGAAGCACCUUUCUCACUCCAGCCUCUCCUUCAGCAGCCAGUGAGAAUACCACUGGUCUCCCAAUCUGAGAUUGAGAGGGCAAUUAUCAAUAAUGUGACAGUUGUCAAUGGUUUCAAUCAGUGUAAAUGGAAAUAUGAUGCUUACAAAUAUCCCUGAGGCUCCAAGUGCAAGUGCCUUGAAGACAUCAGUGCCACGUCGAACACCACCAUCCAAGAAGACAGGAAUUCGUCCUUGUGUCGCCUUGACAACCUGUACACACGAGAACAGUACUGCUGAAUUUGCUGACCAGAAACACUUUCAUGAGAACACAAAUUGACUUUCAUAGUCCAGAAUGAUCCUACCUCUUCCAGGGCUGAGAUAGUAGCUGGCACAUAGUCAAGCUGGCGAGCUCCAUGGUUUGACACAAUGAUUCCUGCUGCUCCAGCUUGAACCGCUAACCUUGCUGCAAGAGGAUAUUUAUAGUUGACUUAGUUAGUUAUUUAUCAAAAUUAAGUGAAGGAAACUUUUGUCUGUCAGAUAGUAACUCACCAUCCUCUCCCGUAAUAACACCUUUGACAAGAAUUGGCAUUUUGGUGAUUGUCUGGAGCCACUGGACGUCCUGGUUUUGUAUAAAUGAAAGUUAGAGCAGUCAGAAUCAAGUUUCAGUUCUGGUUUGUUGUUUUUCUUUUAAGCUGUUGAACUCUCUUACCUUCCAGCUUAAGGUACGGUCAAUUUGACCAGCAACAUAUGAAGCCAAGCCAGAGUCAUUGGCCUGCACGUGGACACAUAGGAACGUUUAGGAAACAUAAACAUAACAAGUCUGCUUCAAAACUUGUUUUGUGACAAUCAUGCUCAGACUAUAAUGCUAGAUAAGUAUCUGAUAGAUGCUUACCUCAUCCAUCUUUCCGAGGUCAAGACCUUCAAAAUUCUUCAAUGUCAGGUUUGGAGGCAAAGUGAAUCUGUAGUAGAAGAAAGCACAUCGUUACUCUAUAAUUUCUAGCUAUCUGUUUGCAUGUUCGAAUCAAAUCAAGCUCUUGUCACAUUUCAUUGACAUGGCUUCACCUGUUCUUGAUAUCAGACUCUCUGCGGCCUAGCCUUGGGGUGUCUACAGUGAGAGCAAUAGCUUUGAACCCAGCCCUUUCAGCUCUUCUCACGAGCUGCUCAACAACAUUCCUGUUCUUGUAUACCUACUCAGAACAAUCAUAACGUGUGAACCAUCAAGUCUGACCAGGUUUAUCAGGAUGUACGACAAGCGACUGAGAUAACUUACAUAGAGCUGGAAAAAUCGAAUCCCUGGUCCUGUGGAAGCAACUUCUUCAACACUGGAAGUAGCCCAUGAAGAUAGUGUCUGAAAGCAUCACGGAAAUACUCAAACCAGAGACAUGGGGUAUGCGUGGAUAUUGGAUUAAGAAGCUCUAAACACCUGAAAGUUUAAGUAUCUUUGCUUAAGAUGAAAUCUUUCGUAAUAAAAUAAUAACAUACCAUGAUGGUUCCAGCUGCAGACGCAGCUCUAGCCGUAGCAUAUUCCCCUGCAUUAGUUUCCAGUAGAGUCUUUAGAACAAGGCCUUAGUCUUUUGGUUUUAGCGGUGCUCAAAAAAGUUUUCACUAUCUACUUAACCAAGUUUCUACAGAAUGUUUCGCUUCUCGCCAGAGUGUUUUGCAGGAAAAGGCAGAAGUCAUUUACCUUCCGGGUGAGCCAUCUUUUGCAUGGCAGUAGGAGCAACCAUGAUCGGCAUCGAGAUCUUGAACCCCAAGACGGUUGUUGUCAUAUCAAUCUUGCUCACAUCAAUCAGAAUCCGAGGCCGAAAGCUGUUAAACAUCCCAAGUUAUGUAUACCAAAUAACAACGUGUUCUCAUGUCUUAAGAAAAAAAAAAGAAGAAAGAAAGAAGAAGAACUCACAGGAUCCUUGCGAAAGCGUUUCUGUUCUCUUGAAGAGUCCAUUGGUCUUCUGCGCCAGAGGCAUAGUAGUCGUAUACCAUCUUAGGCAACUUCUGCUUUGCGAUAGCUUCAUACUCGGUAACGUUUGUGAUCUCCAUUUUCCGAUGCUGGUCUGUCAAAAGAGCAAAAAGGCCUGAGUUAAUAAGUUAGCUGUAGUGAAACUCAAGAGAUAGUGCACGAACGCAAAACACAAUCUGGUUUGUUGUUAGUCUUAACACACAGAAUCUCACACACCUUUGAUGGGGAUGGAGCUCUCGGGAGAGAUGAAGGGUGUGACUGGUAACGCUUAUAUUAUCAUAUAUCUCACAAUGUUUUAUUAUUGGUUAAAAGUUAAAUACACCUGUAAUGUAUUAAUUGGCUUGUGAAAUAUAUUUUCUAACAAGUGAAAAUUGUUGGCAGAGGAAAAAUAAUAUGGAUGAGAAGCUGAAGGUGAAGAAUGGAUGAGAAGAUACGGACAAGGAUCAGAUGGGGUUGUGUGUAUCUAAUUCACUAGCAACUUGUGUGUUCCCUAAAUUUUCUUUCAUAUUAUCGUGCUUAAUCUCAUGGGGAGAAAAAAAAAAAAAUCGUAAACCAAUUGGUUUUCAUUCUUUUGAAAGGACAUAAAUAAAUCCGAGUGGAUGAUGAUAUGGAAGAGAAACUAAAAAGCGUGCGAGGAAGAAGAGCCGGAUUUUACAGGCCUAGUUAUAAACCUUAAAGCCCAAAUACUAUUGGGCUUAACAAUGGGAGAAAGAGUCCAUAAUUUGUUGAUGCAGAUAAUCAAAGUAUAGUCGUUUCUGUGAGUGUGCCCGUGUUAAAUAUUUAAGCUGUUGUUUUGAUUGAGAAGAUGGAAAAUGCUCAGUGAAGAAGAGCACGAAAAGGGGGAAAAAGAAAAACAGAGACAGAGUCCAUAACUUUUAUACAUUUAUCGAUUUCAAUGGCGGACCGGAGCAGGGGCUUUCUGAGAUGAUUUUUGGGACAUGUGCUCUUACAUUCUUCUCUAUAUCGCCAUUUCAACCGGUCAAAUCUCUUAUUCAGUAAGGUUUCACUUAAAAUUUCACAGCUUCUCUGUAUCUACGUUCUCGCAUCGUUUUGUUCUGUGCACUUUCGAUUUGUGAACCGAUCUCUAGUUGUCUCUAUUGUAUAAGUAAGAAGAUUGUACUGAAGGUAGAAGUAGCCAAAUAGCAUUACAGAGAGAAUCUGUAGUCAUGUUUUGUGAUUUUCGAUAUAGCGAGAGAAACAAGUUUUGAGAUAAAAAAGGAAAAAAAGCAGAGUUUAAGCCAAGUAUGAAGUGAGCAAUGAUAAGAAUAAAGUGUAGCCAUUACAUGCCCUGUCUUGUUGCUGUUCUCUGGUGGUUGUUUCUUUUCUUUCCUCUACAACCUGGGCAAAUGGCGCGGCGUGUCCCAUUCGGUGACAAUGUGGUUGCGCGUAAUUUCACUGAGAGACCGGCACCCACUUAGUGCCAUGGUUAGCUCGAACUCAUCGCGUAGCAUUUGAAGCACCUUUCUCACUCCAGCUUCUCCUUCAGCAGCCAGUGAGAAUACCACUGGUCUCCCAAUCUGAGACCGAGAGGGCAAUUAUCAAUAACGUGACAGUUAUCAAUGGUUUCAACCAGUGUAAAUGGAGAUAUGAUGCUUACAAAUAUCCCUGAGGCUCCAAGUGCAAGUGCCUUGAAGACAUCAGUUCCACGUCGAACACCACCAUCCAAGAAGACAGGAACUCUUCCCUGUGUCGCCUUGACAACCUGAACACACGAGAACAGUGCUGAAUUUGCUGAUUCAAGAACACAAUUUGACCUUUAUAGCCUUGAAUGAUCUACCUCUUCCAGAGCUGAGAUUGUUGCUGGCACAUAGUCGAGCUGGCGAGCUCCAUGGUUUGACACAAUGAUCCCUGCUGCUCCAGCUUGAAUCGCUAUCCUUGCUGCAAUGAGGACAAUAAUUGUUGAUCUUGUCAAGUAUUGGAAACUUUUAAGUGAUGGAAACAUUUCAUUUUUCAGAUAGUAACUGACCAUCCUCCCCUGUAAGAACACCCUUGACAAGAAUGGGCAUGCUGGUGAUUGUCUGGAGCCACUGGACGUCCUGUUUGUGUAGAUGGAAGUUAGAGAAAUCUGAAUCAAACAAUCAAGUUUUGCGAUGCUAAUUUAUGGUACUCUUUUACCUUCCAGCUCAAGGUACGGUCAAUUUGACCAGCAACAUAUGAAGCCAAACCAGAGUCAUUGGCCUGCAGGUGGACACAUAACAAGCUCAGGAACACUUAGGAAACGUAAACAUAACAAGUCUGCUUUAAGACUUGUUUCAUGAGUAGAUCACUGCCAUUAUUCAGACGAUAUAUGCUUACCUCAUCCAUCUUUCCGAGGUCAAGACCUUCAAAGUUCUUCAGUGUCAGGUUUGAAGGCAAAGUGAAUCUGUGUAGAAGAACACAAAUCGUUACUUCACAAUUUUUUUUGCUAUCUGUUUGCAUGUUUCUAUCCAAUCAACUCUUGCUGUAUACUUUCUUGCUAUGUAUUUGCAUAUUAAAUUUCAAUCAACUCUUGUCACAUUUCAACUGACUUGGCUUUACCUGUUCUUGAUAUCAGACUCUCUCCGGCCUAGCCUUGGGGUGUCUACGGUGAGAGCAAUGGCUUUGAAUCCAGCCUUCUCGGCUCUUCUCACGAGCUGCUCAACCACCUUCCUAUUCUUGUAUACCUACUCACAACGAUCAUAACUUGUGAAACCAUCAGAUGUGACCAAGUUUAUCAGGGUGUACGACAAACCACUGAAGGUACUUACAUAGAGCUGGAAGAAUCGGAUCCCUGGUCCUGUGGAAGCAACUUCUUCAACACUGGAAGUAGCCCAUGAAGAAAGCGUCUGAAAGUAUCAUGGAAGAAAACAAGUCAAACCGGUAUGCAUAAAUGGUGGAUUAACAAGCUCUAAACACCGAAAAGGUUAAGAGUCUUGCUUUGAAUGAAACCAUUUGUGACAGUAUAAUAUAACAUACCAUGAUGGUUCCAGCUGCAGAAGCAGCUCUAGCCGUAGCAUACUCCCCUGCAUUAGUUUCCAUCAGAACAAGCCUUAGUCUCUGUCUCUAUUGAUACUAAAGCAAGUUUUCACUCUCUAUAACAUAACUCGGUUUUACUGAAUGUCUUGCAGGAAAAGGCAGACGUCAUUUACCUUCUGGAUGAGCCAUCUUUUGCAUGGCAGUAGGAGCAACCAUGAUCGGCAUCGAGAUUUUGAAUCCCAAGACGGUUGUUGUCAUAUCAAUUUUGUUCACAUCAAUCAGAAUCCGAGGACGAAAGCUGUUAAAACAUGGCAAAGGUAUGUAUAUCAAAUCACAUCUCUUGUAAAACCAAUAAAAUAGUGUAUCUUAUCUUAAGAAUAAAAGGAAAAACUCACAGGAUCCUUGCGAAAGCGUUUCUGUUCUCUUGAAGAGUCCAUUGGUCCUCUGCACCAGAAGCAUAGUAGUCGUAUACCAUCUUAGGCAACUUCUGCUUUGCGAUUGCUUCAUACUCGGUAACGUUUGUGAUCUCCAUUUUCGGAUGUUAAUCUGUCAAAAGAGCAUAAAGUCGUGAGUUUUGCGGAAUUCAGACAUAGUCAUAUAGCUACGAUUCUAAUCUCCAGAAUUCAGCACAAGUGUUUACGUUUGGUCUUAAACACAGAAUUCAGACAUAGCUAAUACACACCUUAAUGAGAAUGGAGCUCUCUGGAGAGAUGAAGGGUGUGACUGGUAAGCAAAGCUUAUAUUAUAUAUAUCUCAAUCUUUGUUAGUUAAAUGUUAAAUAUUUGUGUUUGAUUAAUUUGUAACUGUGUAAAACUUGUUGGCAAGUUGGGAAAAUAAUAUGGAUGAGAAGCUGGAGGUGAAGAAUGGAUGAGGAGAUACGGACAAGGAUCAGAUGGGUUUUGUCUAAUCCACAAGCAACUUGUGUGUUCCUUAGCUUUUCUUUCAUAUUAUCGUUCACAAUCUCGAGGAAAAAUAAUAAAUUCAUAAACCAAUUUGAUUUUUCUUUCUUUUUGAAAGGACAUAAAUCCAAGAAGUUGAUGAAACUGAAACUUGAAAAAAAAAAAAAUUUAAAAACGCGUGCGAAGAAGAACGAACAUUCAUGGGCCUUAUAAACAGAAGAACGAACAUUCAUGGGCCUUAUAAACAGAAGAACGAACAUUCAUGGGCUUUUUAUGUCACAAAAUGCCCAUCAUGCGCGACCCGUCGAGGAGGAUAAUCAAAGCGGGACCCACUUAAAGUCGAUCUUCUCUCACCGUCUUUCCUAUAUAGAGCUGUUGUUUGCGAAGAUGGAAAAGUGUAUGCUUCAGUGAAGGAGAGGAAGAAAGGAAAAAGAAGGAAAGCAACUGGAAAAGUGGAAGAAAAAAUUAAAACAGUGGUGACAAAUUUUUUUCCGUGAUCGGAGAUCAUCACAAUCAUCGGUGUCAAUGGCGGAUCGGAGCAGAGGCUUUAUGAGAGAUGAAUUCGUGACCUAUGCUUACAUUCUUCUUUAUAUCGCCCUUUCUAGCGGUCAAAUCUUUUUCAAUAAGGUUUAACUAAAAUCUCACAACCUGUCUUUCACUAGAUCUGUGCUCUCGCAUCGUAUUGUUUUGUGCUCUAUCGAAUUUGAAAACCAAUCGCUAGUUUUCGUAAGGAUUGAGCUGCGUCUGUGGGGAUUUCGGUGCAAUGUAUGAUUUUUCUGACUCUGAUUGAUUUCCUGGAAGUUAACUAGCAGAUUUUAGAAUUCGUGGGUAGUGUACAAAUCAAUGCGAAAUGUCUCCGGUUUAAGGUUUGAUCGCGUUGCGUUUCCUCUCGUUUUAAUCCGGUGCAUCAGUUUUUCAGAUUAGGUCCUUGUCCCUCGCUUGCUUAUGAAUUUCUAGCUGUCCUGUGAUGAACUUCUUUAAUCCCUAAGAAUUGCUAUAGUUUUGUACGGUAGAUAGUAAAUUGUAGUCACAUAAGCUCGGUUUAAGUCUUGAGGGCUGGUACUGAGAUCAGUUGAUUAGGUUCAAUGGCGGCCUUAUGAUUAGUUAUGCGUUAGAGACCAUCGAAAUUGCUAAAUUAUUAGUCAUGCGAAAGUUUGCUUCAUGACUAACGUUCUUGUCUCUGACUUGCUCUUCUGCAGUGGGUUUUGUCAUCUAAGGAAAUAAACUUCCCUUAUCCGCUUGGAUUGACUUUACUUCAUAUGAUCUUUUCCUCUGUCUUGUGCUUUAUUCUUACCAAAGUUCUUAAGGUAUCCAAUCUUGCAACGAUCUUAUUUUAUUUGUUCAUAAGUAAGAAUGCAUAUAUUUCUCACUUUUGGUCCCUUUUUUUUUCUCUAUUUAUUUCUCCAUGAAGAUCGUGAAGGUUGAGGAAGGAAUGACACUAGAAAUGUAAGGAAGAGAGAGACUUAGUAAGGAAUUUUGUUUUGGAGUAGUUGAAAAUACCCAUAACUUAAAAUGUGGUACUGAUCUUUGGUUUAGUAAUAAAGAACUCACUUUAUGUACUCAGAUAUGUUACAUCAGUUAUUCCAAUAGGUGCGAUGUUUGCAAUGACCCUCUGGUUGGGAAACACUGCCUAUCUGUACAUAUCAGUUGCAUUUGCCCAGAUGUUGAAGGCUAUAAGUAAGAAGACCUUACUGCUCUUGCUCUCAUUUCCUCAUAAGUCAUAUGUCUACUUCUUAUAUCUUUAAUGAGCUGGACUCUGGAUAGUGAUAUAAUCUUGUAUCAUACUUGCAGUGCCUGUUGCUGUGUUUAUCCUUGGAGUAGCUGCUGGACUUGAAAUCAUGAGCUGCCGGAUGCUUUUGAUAAUGUCUAUCAUAAGUUUCGGUGUUCUAGUGGCCUCUUAUGGGGAAUUAAACAUCAACUGGAUCGGAGUGGUUUACCAAAUGGGUGGUGUCGUUGGAGAAGCCCUGCGUCUUAUCUUCAUGGAAAUUCUUGUCAAGAGGAAAGGCAUCAAAUUAAACCCAAUCUCACUUAUGUACUAUGUGAGCCCCUGCAGGUAAGUGAAAUCGAAGAAGAACUUAUCUUCAAUUCUCUCAUUAUGUAAAGCCUAAGGUGUAAAAUUAAUCUUUAUGUGCCUCCUUUCGCAGUGCUAUUUGCUUGUUUGUACCGUGGAUCUUUCUAGAGAAAUCGAAGAUGGACGGUAGUGGCACUUGGAACUUCCAUUUCGUAGUGUUGACCCUUAAUUCCCUCUGCACAUUUGCUCUCAACUUGUCUGUUUUCCUGGUGAUUUCUCACACGAGUGCUCUCACUAUCCGAGUUGCUGGUGUUGUCAAGGAUUGGGUGGUUGUUUUGGUCUCAGCUCUUCUUUUCGCCGACACAAAACUCACAAUCAUCAAUCUUUGUGGUUACGCCAUUGGUAAGUAAAAAACAAAAAAAAACUCCUCACAUAACCAAUUGUCUUUAUAGUCAAAGAGUUUAACUUCUCUUAUAAUUGUGCUUUGUGUUUUACACGCAGCCAUUGCCGGUGUAGCUGCUUACAACAACCAUAAGUUGAAGAAAGAAGCAUCCAGAGUUACCACUGAAACUCCAGGAGAUGGUGAAUCUAUACCGUUGGUAUCACAGGCUGAUUCAGAGAGGUAAUCUUUGAUUGAUUGUUUUGUGAUAUGUACCGUCCAAUUUCUAUUAACUUAUACAAAAUACUCUGUACCUGAACAAGAAAAAAUAUUUAAAUCAAUUUUUCUCCAAUUGUCAUGAUUUUAAUCACAACCUUUGGUAUGUGUACUGUAGUUGAUAUAUGAUCGUUGAGCGAAUAUGUUUGAUUUGUUUCCUUUCGAAGAAGUAAAAUAUUUUGAAAUUUCCUUCGAAGUAGAACUGAAAAAAAUAUUACAGAAGUAAAAAAUUGUCGCUAAAUCGUGUUUGACUUCCUACUCGCUCCAAAAAUGGGCCUCAAAGCCCAGUCCCAGGAUUUCCUUUUUUUUGUCGUCUUUCCUUUUUUGUUUAUCCACCUGGAGUUUAUAUUUAGAAUUUUAAAAAGGAAAAACGGAGAGGAGAAGGAAAAAAAUAAAAAAAGAGGGUAAAAACGAAGCCUCGCGUGGGGUUUGUUGCUGGGCGGGUCUCUUCCCUCGGCAGUUACCACCAUCGAAUCGAUCUCGUCGUCUCUUCCAAACUCUCGAAAUUAAUAAAAUCUUCCAGAAAUUUCGAGUUAGAAAAUUGAUGCGAGGAGCCCGAAGCUCGUGAAUUAGAGAGAAAGAGAAGCGGGGAAAAGCGCGUGGUUGUGGUGGUGGCGAGAGAUGCGAUCGCAGCUGUUGGCUUCGCCGUGGCGGCGAGUCAGCGAUGAGCGGUUGCUUCGGUGUUUUUCUCCGGCGGAGAAGAACCGAUUUUAAUGGGAUUUAAGCUGCAGAUGAGCUGGAUGCCGAGUCUACUGAGUCAGAAGCGGAGGAACGGUCCUCCUUUAGGGUUGCGGAAUCUCGGCAACACCUGUUACCUCAAUAGUGUCCUUCAGUGCCUCACUUACACUCCUCCCCUCGCUAAUUUCUGCCUUAGUCACAAUCACUCCUCCCACUGUAAGUUUUUAUCUCUCCCUCUCGAAGAUUAAGAGAUAGUUCUAAUGCUUUACAAGCUGUUUUUUUGCUUCGUAUUUCAUUUGUUUAUGUGCUCUGUGUUGGAAAAUCACAUUUGGUAGGCGACUCUUAUGGGGAUGGGGAGCGGAAACGGGAAUGUCCUUUUUGUUUAGUUGAGAGAAGAAUAGCAAGGUCUCUUUGUGUGGAACAAGCAACCGAUGCGCCAGUCAAGAUUUCAAAUUGCCUCAAAAUUUUUGCCGAGCAUUUUAAGUUUGGGCGUCAAGAAGACGCUCAUGAGUUCUUGCGGUAUGUGAUUGACGCAUGCCACAACACGUCUCUCCGCCUGAAGAAGUUGCGAUCAAAGGGUGGUGAGCCCUUUAAUGGCAAUACUGUGGUGAAGGAGAUUUUUGGUGGGGCUUUGCAGAGCCAGGUUAAGUGUUUGUCAUGUGGUGCUGAGUCGAAUAAGGCCGAUGAGAUUAUGGAUAUCAGCCUUGAAAUUUUGCACAGCAACUCGGUGAAGGAAUCUUUGCAAAAGUUCUUUCAGCCUGAGAUUUUAGAUGGCAACAAUAAGUAUAGAUGCGAAAGGUAAGUGGUUUGAUUUGGACUCAUGUAGUCUUCUUUGUCUUCCAGAGUGUCUUUUUUCCCUUUUUUAACUGUUUCAUCUGUGUAGCUGUAAGAAACUGGUGACGGCGAGGAAGCAGAUGUCAGUUCUCCAAGCGCCUAAUAUCCUUGUUAUCCAAUUGAAAGUAAGAAUAUCAUGUUUCUGUUUACAAAGUUGAGUGUAACUUUAAGUAGAAAAAUAUUUUAAACGUUUGUCUUGAUAAAUUUGUUUAACAGAGGUUUGAGGGCAUUUUUGGUGGGAAGAUUGAUAAGGCCAUUACAUUUGGUGAGAUUUUGGUUCUCUCGGGCUUCAUGAGUAAAGCCAGCAAGGUACAAGAUUCUAACACUUUUUAAGUUUGUUGUCAGUUUCUGUUAUUUCGGGUAGAUGCUUCCGAGUUCUUUUUACAUGAACUCAAAAUGAUUCCCGAAGCCUGCAUCUACCUCUGAAAUCAUCAUAGUGCUCUAUCUUGUGAAAUUGUACUUUCCAAUUCUUACUUUUCUAUAUCGAUUUACUCUUGCAGGACCCUCAACCAGAAUACAAGCUUUUUGGGAUAAUUGUGCAUGCAGGAUUUUCUCCUGAAUCUGGGCACUAUUAUGCCUACGUUAAGGUUCUUUUCUGUCCUUUUUUUUUCAGUUUUUAACUCUCAUAUUGCUUACUGACGUUUUUCAAUUGCCAUGUUUAGGAUUCCUUGGGUAAAUGGUAUUGCUGCAAUGAUUCGUUCGUUUCACUCUCCACCUUGCAAGAGGUUUUGUCAGAGAAAGCUUAUAUUCUGUUUUUCAGCCGUUCCAGCCAGAGACCAGCAUCUGCUAAAACUCUGGUAACAUCCAAUGGGACUACGUCUCAUGAAGUCAAUGGCUGCGAGACAUCAAAGCCCCAGAGGUUUAUUGGUCCCCUUAAUAAUGUCAACAUGAAACCACGGGCCGAGCAGUCCUUCCAGAAGGAUAACAACCUGGCUUCUUCAAAGCCCCAUAAAUUUAUUCGUCCCCUCAAAGAUGCUAAUAUGAAAUCACGAGCAGAGCAGCCCCUGCACACGAAUAACCUUGUUUCUUCCAAUGUUGAAAAGGCUCCGUUGAAGCCACAUGCGAAAAUCACUGUCAACCUUGGUGCCAAAAGGGUCUCUUCUCCUACUGUCAGUGGCAGACUUUCUUUCCACCAAGAUGAGAACAUAGCUCCAAAGGCGGACAAAGAGAAUAUCGUAUCCGUUUCGCCAACUAGGGUUUACACUUGCUCGGAGAAAAAGUUUGGUACUGAAAAUGGUGGCAAUGGAGUUAAAGAAAACGGCAGUGCACAAGGUAAUAAUGAAGUUACCUUGCAUCCCCACGAGCGUAACGGCUCCAGCAAUGGGGGUGAUCAUCACCACAAAGAUAACUUACUUCCAUGCGAGAGUAAUGGUUCAAAAAAUGGAACUGAUCACCAGGAAAUUGAGAAGGAAGGUGUUAGUACAACCCAAUCCAAAGCCUUGGGUAAAAUCCCCUGCAUUUUGCUUGCCAAAGACGAAUCAUCUCGGGUUAAACUUGAAGCAAUAAAAGAGAGGUAACUUCGGGUUGUGCCUUUGUUUAAAUACUCCUAUUGAAUUUAAUGACAUAGGAUAACUUACAAUGAUUAUGUUUGCAUAUUUCCUCAGUCUAAAGAAAGACACUUCGUCAUAUUUACGGUCAUGCGGAUGGUAUGAUCAAGUAGAAAUCUCCAUGCGUGCCAAGAAGAGAUUGCGCACAGAGCAAUCAGGAGGAGAUGGCAACAACUUAAAGUAAGUGAAACCCGAGUAUUGUUUUCUGUUCUCUAACUUAUCUCAUAUUUGCUCGUAUAAUAGCUAGAAAUUGCACAUAUUGAAUUUGCAAAAUCGUCUUGUUUGUGCAGGAGGAGGUUGAUAGCAGAUGUAAAAUCAAGUUUAUCCCAGAUCCCAGAUGAAUUGAAAGCAGAACUCGCAAACCGGCUCUUGAGAAUUAGCAAGAAGAAAUAUUCGUGAAAGAGAGUUUUUCUAUUUUCUUAUUAAUUAUAACAUUUUUGAAAGAGUAAAGUAAUUAUCGGAAAAGAAAUAGAAAACCAAAAAAACAGGUCUCAUUCUGUUCUGUAUAAUAUGAGCUUCUCGGAACUUUUUUCUUUUUGGGGUCCCUAUCGACGACGAUGAUUCUUUACACUCCUGGAAAUUAAUGUUAAGAGCGUUCUUGGCUUUACAGAUUUUGUGUGAUCUUUUCUAUUAACAUUUGACAUUCAGGUGACUUUGUUACAACAAAAUAAAUAGUUUUUUUGGUUGGUAAUACACUAGUACAUAAAAAGAUCGAUCAAAGAUGUAACAAGAAUGUUUCAGAUUCAACGAGUAGAUGAAAAAUUAAACAAACAAUUUUAAAAAAAGUUGAAGGAUGAUUAGGCCAAGACAAGAAUGUUUCAGUUUUACAUUAUAAUGAGCAGGGAAAGAUUCAACGAGUAGAUGAAAAAAUAAACAAACAACUCUGAUGCUGAGAGAUUACAAACAGAUUUUCUUUUACAAAAGUUGAUGGAUGCUUAGGCCAAGAAACGUAUGAUUUCUUCGGUCUUCGUCUUAUUGAAAAUAGAGAAAAAAAAAUGCAAAUUUUGGGAUCGCAAAUUUAACGGUCUAAGAAGAAGAGACUCUGUUGAUCUUGGCGUAGUGGCCAAGAGACCAGGAGGAUGAGCCUGGACAAGAAGAAGAGAGUCUCUCUGCAGUGGCUCUGACUAACUCCUCAAAGUCAAAGUCUUCUUCGGAGAUUGUGGUCAACAUGUUCUUGAAUGGUUCUCUCGUUGCCGAUAUCAACUUAGCCGGAGCCACCUCGGUGAUGAACCUAGAGGUCUUAACUGUUUCCAUCGGUGAUUGAGAUUGAGAUCUUUUGGAUCGAUAAGAGAGUGUUGGGAGAAGAAAUAUUCUUCGUUGGGCAUGGGAAGGGAAAAAAGGAUAGAGAAAUUAGAGACUGCAGAAGAAGAUAUUUGUGAAAGAUUUUGGUGAGAGUUGAAGUGAAUUUAUAGAGUAGUGCAUACAUGUGAAAUACUUGCAUCUACAAAAGGACAAAUACUAUCUGUGGAAGAGUACUUACACUCCCUCUCGUUUUUUUUUUUUAACAUCAAUUACACUCCCUCUCGUUAUUAGACAAAAUCUUUACCCAAUUUUUCGAUAUGAUUACAUAUGAUCUUUCAUCAACCACCAAUUUUCACAAAAUGAUAGUAUUAUUUUCUUAUCGCCAAACCUAAUUAUCUGGUAUUGUUACAAGGGAAGAGAUGUGUACUAAUUCACUCAUUGUCAAAUAAUUUUGAAUUUAAAUUCAUAAAACGUAACAUCUAAUCUUCAAAUGUCAAGCGAGUAUCAGUGUACCCAUGUUGUACUUUGAACUUAAAAGAUGAAGAAAUCGUUGGAUUACAUCUAAAUGGUUUCACGAGAAAGGUUUCACAAUCUAAAUCGAAAAGUUCAAACGCUACCCAAAAAACAAACGCAAAUCAAGAUUAUGUUUACAAACACACUGGUACGGAUGCAAAAUCAUCAAGUGAUAGGUACGAAGUUGCUUUCAAAUUGACGACGGUGUAGGGACUCUUCAUUUAUAAUCAAAAGCCAAAAUAAAUUGGCGACAACCAACGCCGUUUUAGCUUCGAGUUUCUAUUCUCAAAUUAAUUAUACAUCUAUGAAUUUUCAUCUUUCACUUGUUGUUCUCUAUAUCCUAGAGAUCGUUUAAAGCUCAUAUAUAUAUAUAUUUCAUCUAAUAUUUCCCAAGACUCCAGAUUACAGUGUUUCUUUUCAGAUCAAGAUAGAGUGUGGUUUAAUGAUCAAAAAGAAUUGUUGAAUAGAAGAUUCCCAUCAUUGUAAUAUAUGGCUGUAUGAUACGAUACGAUACAUACCCAUUAAAAUUACUAUAUUUAUAAAACCCUAAAAACAAAAAUUGAUAGCAACUUAACAGUAAGUGGUAAGUAUCAUAAUUGGCCAGCCAAACUUUUUAGCAUUAAUUUCCAGAAGAUGACAUAUAAAUUUACAUUGAUAGUACACAUACAUUAGUACAUUCCCGGCUCUUAACUUAACUCAAAAGCCAGAAUAUGGAAGGCUAGGCGUUUAGUUUUUGUUUCUAUUAAAGUUCAUGGACAUCUUACUCGAGACAAAACUGAAAUAAAUCGAUCGAUAUAUGCCAUUUGUGUAUAUAUAAGACGUAGAGUUAUUAACAUAUUCAGUUCGAAAGUGUUUUUUUUAUUAUUAUUAUUCAAAUUGAACAUGAAAUUUGAUAUGUUUGGAUUGUUGACAACCAAAAAAAAAGUAACUCUGAUAUGUUUGGAUCAUAUCGGUUUAAAGGUCUAGUACUACAGCAGAAAAUAUAUGAAGCACUAUAUUCAAAUCCAUCUAGACAAGUAAACUCAAAUUUUAUGGCUAUUUUGAUGAAUCAAAUAUCAAAUAUAUAUAUAUAUAUAUAUAUAUAUAUAUAGAAUAAGAUCGAAUUAAGACUAUGAAAAACUCCAAAAUUGAUGUUACUAAACACGAAGUUAUAAGUUUGUAAAUUAAAUGGCAAAAACCUACUACGUUUUUAAUGGCCUGAUGGGACAAUUCACAUAACAUAGUUGUUAGACGUCGUACCAUAUUUGAAAACUGAUAUGGUAUUAUAGAAACCACAGAAACAAAAUAAUUUGAAGGACCACCUUUAUUAUAUGGCGGAGAAAGGUAGCUGCUUUAAUACGGUGUCGCAUGGGACCAUUUUGCUUCUUUAAGCUUCCUGCCACCGCCUCGAUUGCACAGAAAAAGGUUUACUUUGGAAUCUUCCUAUAUAUCAACUGAACCCUCUAAUCGAGUUAGAGUGUUUGCUGACGUGAGCUCCACUCUUGCCGACGUUAACUCUAGAACUUGCAAAUCUUGUUGAAGUAUAUGUCUACUACAUACAUACAUGAUACAUGUAAAGAUUCUAAAAUUAUAAUACUUUUCCCAUUUCCCACUGUGAAGACCUGUCUCUAAUAUUCCACUUAUCCACAAAAAGAAAAAAAAAAUGAAAAAUUCCUCUAUUAGCUUCUGCGACCAUCUACAUAUAUUUCAUUGUAUUACUUAAUUACAUAUUUCUGUGUGAUAAAGUAGUGGAACGAAUAUAAAAUUCGAAUUAAAUCGGAAUUUGGAAUUUUGAAAAAUUUGGUCAGCCCCUCUUCUAGAUUAUAUUCUGAAAUCUCAACUCUUCGAUUCUAUUCUUGAAUUAGGGUUUUGGUCAAAUUCCCAACCAUGCAUAUGGGAAAUGGAAUCGAGGAUAAAAUAAUAUAUACAAUUUAUUGCAUAUGUGUGCCUAUAAAUAUCAAUACAUCUGAACUAGGCUUUACCACAACACAAGAGUCAAAGAAAGAGGUAACACAUUUAAAAUACGUAGCUCUAGAUCGAGAGACGACGAUGGGGGUCUCUUGUUGUAUCAGAUGGUCUUGCAUGAAGGAAUAGAGAAUGGGGUUGAGCCAAGGAUGACUUGCCGGGUUAAACACAACCGGUUUAUGACCAUUAGUUUGGUCCCGAACACGAGUUGAUUUGUGUCUGGCAAGUUGACCUUGGCUCUGUUUCGUUCUCUUUUCCUCCAUGUUAGAUUACAGAUAUAUAUAUAUAUUUGGUCAUGGAUGGGAUUAACCGAUAUCUUAUGAAACUCUCACGUUACGUAUAUAAAUAUUCAUCUCGUUAGUUUCCCACGCUUCAAAUGUUCGUUUAAUUAUCGCUUCAAAUGUUCGUUUAAGAGGUUUCAAACAAAAUGUUCGUUUAAUUACAGUUAACUACUUGCAUAUUUAGGAAACUUAAAUACCUCUAUUGGUUAGGUAAAACAAACACAAGAACUUUAUUUUGAUUUAUUUUUAAAACAUUUCGCUAGAAUUUAGAAUCUAACAUCACAUCAAAGAAAAUAUAUAGUGUCCCUUUUUUAUUUUUCUUUCUUUCUUUCUUAUUCCACUUCAAUUAAUCAUCAUUAAAAUAAAGUAAUCGUAUAAGUAGUAUAUAUUUCUACCCUGAAAUUAGUUCGUCACUUGUUAGGAUUUUAACUAAAAAAAACAUGUGGUCUUAAGAUUGAGGUUUAAGAUUAACUACUUUGUUCUUACCCUCAAACCACCUAAACAUAAACCACGAAGUGGAAUUAUAGAUUUGAUACUCGUAUGAUGCUUGAAGAUGCGACGCGUGGAAUGAUCGAUGCAGCGGUCUAUACAUUUUGAUGCGAUAACUAGCUAGUGCUACGAAUACAAUACUAUUCACAUUUCAACUAUUUCAAAUUCUAUUCGAUCUGUCUUGAGGUUGGUCAAAAUUGCUUUGGUCGCCCCAACCAAUGGAUCGAAUCUAAUUAGUAAUACUGUAAACUCAAUUUAAGCAUAUAUCUAUUCGUUAACUAGUACGUAUGAUCUAUUCGCGAACCAAUAUAGAUGGAAAUCUCUAGCUGCGUCACAGGGUCUUGCCAAGACGUAAUGAUUUCUAAUAUUAAAUAUUCAUACAAAAAGUGUUUUAAAAGAGGCGUAGCAAAAACAAACAUAUCCCGUACGUAAGCCGAAAGUUAGAAAUGAAUUAUUGAAUGGAGACAUAAUUAAAUAUCAUUGAUUACUAAAGUCUAAUCAAAUAUCAAACUUUCUUCAUUUCUGGUACGUAUUACCAAAUUUGGAUAAAAUAGUUAUUAAGAUUGAUAUAUAAGAGCAAACAAAACAAGACAGUUACCUAAAACGUAACUUCCUGACGUCAUAAUCACAUGACUAUAUUGAAUGCUUGAGCAACUAUUUUGUCUACUAUGACUUGAUUACUUGAAACACUUACAUUAUAAUAAGAGGCAAAGAUCUAUCCUUCCUUAAAACAGAAACAAACAAUGAACAAGACCGAUCAAAACGGCAUUGACGGCUCAGCCUUAGAGCUUAACCGAACGGAGAGAGCGGUAGAGACGGUCCUCCGAGUAGCAUCAAUGGCUCUAAGUAUUGCGGGGCUCGUGAUUAUGAUCAAAAACUCUAUAUCCAACGACUUUGGCUCUCUUUCUUACUCAAAUCUUGGAGCUUUCAAGUGCACCUUCUUUGCUCUCUUUUUCUUCUUGCUUCACUUUGAGAGGAAUCAAUCAAUGAACAUUGUUUGUUUUUAUUGUUCCCUUCUUGUAGGUAUUUGGUGAAUGCUAAUGGAGUCUGUGCUGCCUAUUCUCUUUUUUCUGCUAUCUGUGUAACAGCCAUUCCGUGUCCAAUAAGCAAGCUCCGAGUAUGGGCAUUGUUCUUGCUUGACCAAGUGGUCACAUAUGCGGUUUUAGCGGCUUUUACCGUAUCUGCAGAGACAGUUUACUUAGCAUAUAAAGGAAACUUAGCCAUCACUUGGAGCUCUGCUUGUGAUUACUAUGGAGUCUUCUGUCACAAGGCACUGGUUUCAGUUCUAUUUACAUUCCUUGUGUCUGUUCUCUACAUGUCGCUUUCACUCAUCUCUUCUUAUAGACUCUUCAGCAGAUUUGAAGCACCUAAGCAGUGAAUACAAAGAACACAUAAAUAGGAAGUCAAAGGUACAAGAAACUGAAAGAGAAACAUGUUCUGUUUGGUUAAAGUGAAAGAGAAGGUUGAAUAAAAGUGUAACUGAAAUGUAACUUUUUUAUUCCCCUAAUGUUAACUAGAUAUUCUAUAAUUUUUCAUACAAUCACACAUCAUGGUGAUCAGAACCAAAUCAUAUAAAUUAUUACGCAAUGCAGAUCGUCCUCGGCGCGAACUUCUUAUUAGAGAAAAAUGCAGAAAAAUGGAGGACCAUAUGGUUAGGUGGUUUAUUUUAUAAUACGUACAAAUGUUAGAAUUCCUACAAGGUGAAUGUUAGAAUCCGUACAAGGUGAUAGAAAAAUUAGCACCCUUAACCAAAAAAAGAGCUAAUUUGUAAUGUAGAUAAACUCAAAUUUAUGUUGCCAUCAUAUAGAAGUGUUAGGAAUCAAAUGUGAAUAAAAGACAACAAACUGCAAUCAUAUACAAACAGACCAAAACUCUAGUGAUCCCUUAAACCAUCACAUAAGGCCCAUUUACAGGUAUGGGCCGACAUUGAAUUAGGCAGCCAUAAACGUUGACCAUUUGACUUCUAGAGUGCAAUUGUAUAGAUUAUUGUAGUACUACUCCUAACCUCAAUAAAUUAUAUUCUAUUAUUUGUAGACGUAUUAGGUGUGCAUGUUCCUUUGUGUGUUGGUUAUGCCAAAAUUAAUUCGUAAGUAACAUUAUUUCUAUUUGUUUUAGUCUCCAGUUAGGUUUACUUAUUUAUUUAAAAUGUUUUUAACUUAAAAAGGGGCAUAAUUCAAUGUAUUUGAAAACCCAUAUGGUAUGUUGUUUUAUUCAAUAAAUUGGUCGUGGGCUCCAAGGUGAUGAUUAGGAGCUUCUGUUAUGUCUGAUCUCAGUGAACGUUAGUAUAUGUGAUAUGACCAAUUUAAACUUGUUAAAUUAAAGUGCCUUGUACUGUCCAGGGACUUUCAUUAGACACAAUAGUACUUACAAUAAAUUAACAAAAUUAAUCAUCGAAUCAAACAAAAUUCAAGCUAGGAUGCAUUGCGCCUCCAAAGGGACUAACAAUAUGGUUUACACUCCAAUGUGAAUUUAUUUGGGCGUCAACAUGAUUCCGAUGCCUUUGUAGUAUAGUCCUGGAAAAAAAAAGAGUUAAUGGCAUUUAGUGGUAUUACUCAAAAAAAAAAUCGUUGAGAUAUUUUGUAAAUUAGGUAGUCCUUUAAAUUCUUCACAGAGUAAUAAUAUCACAGCAUAAGUUUGAAUGUGAGUUUUUAGAAUGGUUUGGAAUGUGAGUUUUUAGAAUGGUUUGGAAUGUGAGUUUUUAGAAUGGUUAUAUAUGUGUGUGUGUGUCUGUGUACACUAAAUUAUAGACAUCUUAUAAUGAUGAGAUAUUUUUUUCUUUCUGUUAGAAGUAGUUGUGGCAAAAAAAUGCAACUAUUCAUCACAUGAAAGGUUAAGCAUUAUUUCAUUUUGAAAUAAUGGUUUCUCUUAAUAAUUAAUACAGGUUGGAUUCUUUGCCCCCCAUCAAUUAUUUUCUCUAAUUUUUUUUCCUUCCUUUUGCAGUGUCUUAUUCGUAGCAUUUGAAAUCGAAACAAAUAAAAAUAAAAAAAUUAUAAUAUGAGUUACUCAUUCGAGAAUCGAUAUAAUAAAUACUAGUAAAGUAAUUGAUAUGAUAUAUGCAUGCGUUACAUAGACACCAUCACCCCAAUUGUGGAUCGCAAAGGUAAAACUACUUCAUUGUAAUUCUGUGAGAAUAUAAGAAGGUAUAAUUAUGUUCGUCGACAAGAGUACAGAUGGAUCUUUUUAUGCCAAAUUAAACCACGUGGUUAAGCAAUAAAGUGCCAUUACUCCUAAUGCAAAUCGCUUAAUGAUAUAUUGACAAUUUGACAUUAUAGUGUUCAUUUACCGGUUAACACAUAUACUUGGGGUAAGAUCCUCGUGUUUUCCUUUUCCUGACAUCUUGGGAUUACAGUUUUUGUUUCACGAUUUUCUUUUGCAUCAUGCAAUUGUGUUCCGGUAUGAUCUGGCAUAUAUUUCACUUAUUUACAGUUCAUUAAUGAUAUUAUAAAAGACUAUAUACAAAAUUUCUCUUAUAUAAGCAAAUUUUUUGAAGUUCACCUAAACCAAGGAAAUGUAUGGAAUAUUGGAAUCCUUCAAGACAUAUCAAAAAAAAAAAAUUUAUAUGUUCUUUAGUGUCGUUUUUAGGUGUGCAUCGAGAACCGCUUAUCAUUUUGCGGAUUAUUUAGCAAAUGCCGCCCUAUGUUCUUUCCUCCCAAAUGAACUAUCUGCGUUUUAAUGAAAUUUGUUGUUCAAAAGAGAAAACCAAUCAUUUUUUCUGUGUAGACUCUUCGCUAUACGACCGUUUAAGCCAUUGACUAACCGUCAAACUCUCCUCUUAUCUUUCUUAAGAAAACAUAUACCGUAUUUUAUAGAUUUAAAAUUAUAGCUUUCUGAACCUGACGGACGAGCAAUCCACGAGCUUAUAAGUUGAUAGCUUCAAUAAUUGAUUCUUUUUUAAAACAAAGAUGGUAGUUUAUAUAAUAAAAAAUAAUAAUAAUAAUUUAGGUAGGAAGUAAAUGGGAAGUAAUUAUUGGAAGAAUUAUUAUCCUAAUUAUAUAUUAGAUUUUAAAAAGAGAGGCCCACAGAGAACAGAUUAGAAAAUCGAUAGAAGCGACAAAGGGGGGGUCCCAUGUUGGCCACGUGGCAGACAAAGUAAGACUUUUGAGCCGACGUGGGUCCCGCAACGGUAAGAAGCCAUAGUAAUGGCCCAUCACAUGGAUCCAGUUCCCAUAUUCUCUUCAACAUGCGAAUCCCUCUUCAAAAUUCUGACCCACCCAAAAAUCAACGAUGAAGUUUUAUGUUUUAAUAUUAAAUAAUUAUUCUUAAAAUGCAUCGUUUUGAGAAAAUAUUAAUUAGUUUUCAUCAUCAUUUUUUGUUUAACAAAAGGUACUAAAAUACUUUAUUCACAAUUAUUUAGUACUCUAUAUCCUUAAGUUGCCACAUUACACUGCUUAUAAGAUAUGAAUUUUCCUUUCAGACUUUCUCCAAAAAAAAAAAAGAUCUUGUGUGUGUAAAGACUUGUAAAUGCCCAUGCAUGCAUAGGGGUGGUACUUGGUAGAGUUAGCAUAGAAACUUGAUAGAUGACAAUAUGACAUAAUUUGUAUUUGUUGGAUUAUGGCGAAAAGUAAACUUAUAUCUCAAAAUUAUUGUGUUUCAACUAAUAGUCUUGCUACGCAAAAGCUGUACUAUUUUAGCAUUAAACGUAUAUAAUUGACUCCUUAAACGAUAGAUAAGAUUACCGUAGUCUCAGCUGAGUACACGUAAGCAUGAUGAAGCUAAAUUCGAGGAACGUUACAGCCGACAAACUGUUACCGCCUCAUGAAUGCACACAGUCGCGCAUUUACUCUCACUGACCUUAAGUUUCUUCACAUUGAUUCACGCACCGAUUAAAAAUUACGGUAAAGCCAAUUAUAUUUUUUUUUUGUAGAAGUAAAAUACUAAUUUCCCUCAACUCUAAAUUUGUUUUUUCCCUCCAACUCAGUAAUUUCUCUUGAGCUAUUGUUAAAAUCGUAACUGCUUAAUUUCUGAAAAUAUUAUCAUCCAUGUGUUAAAGACAUGUGAUAAAACAAGCAUGUGACUGCACACCCAAAAUUAAACAUAAUUCCAAUCCAUGAUUAAAAUUUAAGAUUAAACAAAAAUGAACCGUUAAGGUCAGACGAAUCACAUUACCUUGUCCUUUCCUCAACUUCCUCAUGUCAAGCCUAAAUCGCCCGAACAUAACCUUUUUCUUUAAUCAAUAAUAUAGUAAUUAACUAAUGAAUCACCUUCUUCCUCUCCAUUCUCAACUAUCUUCUUUAUAAAUAUCUCAGAAUUCCCCGCCCUUUAAACACACAAACACACACACACAAAAAGAAGUGAAUAUAACAAGAAGAAGAAAAAAAAUGGAAGAGGAAGAUAUAUAUUUCCCCGACACCGAUCUUGAUCUCAGCUUCACAUCCACCGUCACCGACCGUACAUUUGCCUCCUCAAGCGGACGCUCCAGCCUCACGCUAAGCUUCAACGACAGACUCUCAACUUCAUCCGUCGUAACAAACUCCUCCACCUCCUCCUCCACCGUCAACCACCGUCGUCACGAUCCUCACUGGUCGGCAAUCAAAUCGGCAAAACAUCUCUCCUCCACCGGAAACAUCCACCUCCGUCACCUGAAACUAAUACGCCACCUCGGCACCGGAAACCUAGGCCGAGUCUUCCUCUGCAACCUCCGCGACUCCUCCGCAAGAUUCGCUUUAAAAGUCAUCGAUCGAAACAACCUCACGACGGCGAAAAAGCUAUCUCAAGUCGAGACGGAAGCAGAGAUCCUCUCCUUGCUAGACCACCCUUUCCUCCCUACGCUCUACGCUCGUAUCGACGAGUCUCACUACACGUGUCUCCUCAUCGAUUAUGCUCCCAACGGAGACUUACAUUCCUUGCUCCGCAAGCAACCUGGUAACCGUUUACCGAUUCAGCCGGUUAGGUUCUUCGCCGCGGAAGUCCUCGUCGCCUUAGAGUACCUUCACGCAAUGGGAAUCGUAUAUCGAGAUCUCAAACCGGAAAACGUUUUGCUCCGGGAAGACGGACACGUCAUGUUGUCGGAUUUCGAUCUCUGUUUUAAAUCCGACGUUGUCCCUACUUUUAAAUCUCGCCGGUAUCGGAGAACUUCUUCUUCACCGUCGCUCCGUCGGCGGAGGAGCGGUUGCUUCUCCGGGGUCGCGGCAGAGGAUAAGUACGAGAGGGAGGAGAUCGUGGCAGAGUUUGCGGCGGAGCCAGUGACGGCGUUUUCACGGUCUUGCGUCGGAACUCACGAAUAUCUUGCGCCGGAGCUAGUCUCCGGCAAUGGACACGGAAGCGGAGUAGAUUGGUGGGCCUUCGGAAUAUUCCUUUACGAGUUGUUGCACGGAACGACGCCGUUUAAAGGAUGUAGUAAAGAGGAGACCCUGCGCAACAUAGCAUCGACCAAUAAGAACAUGAGUUUCCACGGUGAUUCAGAGGAAGCGAAGGACUUGAUCGAGAAGCUUUUGGUGAAGGAUCCGAGGAAAAGGCUAGGAUGCGCCAGGGGUGCGCAAGAUAUCAAACGUCAUCCGUUUUUCGACGGGAUUAAGUGGCCGUUGAUUAGGCAUUAUAAGCCACCGGAAGAAGUUAGAGGUCUUGUGAUUAAGAAGUCGCCGAGAUCACAUGCUGGUCACGUGACGGCAGUUUCACCGCGACGGAGGAAGUCGUUUUUGUGGAGGGCAUUGUCUUAUUUACUGCGCGGUAAAAGCUCUAGUGGUGGAAGUAAAAAUCAUAGCAACAGUAAUUAUUAUCAUUAUGUAAGCAAAAGCUACGCGAGUCGCAAACGCGUUUAAGGCUGUCUUGCGUUUUUUUUUUCCUUUUUCAAUUUUCUUAGAGGUGAAGCAACACAAACAUAGAGAUAGAGAGUGUAUAUGCGUAUUACUAUUAGUGAAUGUAUACAAUAGGAUGUUCAACGAUUUUGUGUCUGAAUAUUAUACCACAAUACAUAGUCUUCUAGACUUCUAUCAUAUCUUCGUCUAUAUUCUACUGACUGCGUAAGUAUCAUUUCACUAACUCCAAUCAAACGAUUAUUGGCUCUUAAGCAAGGUUUUCUAAAAGAAGACAUGUAACUUCGUUUUUUCAGUUUACUGAACUAAACAUUUGGUGACAAAGACGUUAAAUAUAACAAUGAUUUGAACAUACUAGUUACUAAUUAGAGACAUAUAUAUGGGUAUUGGUCAAAAAAAAAGAGACAUAUAUAUGGGUCUAACCGUCUAAGAACCAUACUUUUUUUUUUUUUACAAAAAUGAAGUGGAGUUUAAGAAAUUGGGCCUUACUGUUAGGCCGAUUAUAUCUAAAUGCAAUUGAGUAAGAGGGAUACUAGUAGUAGUAGUCCACAUUGUAUCCUUCGAUUUAUUGGAAUGUGGGCGCAUUAUUUUGGGUGUAAGAAACAACAUAAUCAAAAUUAUGAUUCUGGUUGGGCUUAGAAUCAUUAGACUCACAAUAACAUAACAUAUAUAUGUUAAUACAUACAACAUGAUUGAGAAGACUUUAGUUUGAUCCAAAUCUGUUAUGAUCCGGAAAUUAAUUCACGAAGUGACGCAGAAUUGAUUAGAAAAAUGAGGAAGAAAUCAAGAGGGAUGAUUGUGUUCUACCAGCUGUAAAACCGCAACGAAUGAUAGAGAAACGGGAACAGUCACAAUCUCGCUUACAGAAUUUGUUUUGCGUAAUUUGACACUGGUUUAAAAUAAUGCUAUUAAACCCUGAUAUGGUUGGUCCGACCACAAUCUACAAAAUAUAUUUCAUUCUAGUUUUUGUGACCGGUUUAUGAUAUAUUUUAAAAAAAAAACCAUUUAAAACUUUAAAAGUAGUUUACCAAGCUAGCAAGCCAAAGAAAAGUCCAUUAUCAACAAGUCAACAACCUAUUUUGGUAGAUUUUUUUUAAAAAACCUAAAAUUCAACCAUGCAUACGUUUUUUUAACAACAAAACACGACGUUUCAUUAAGCUGGUGGAGAAAAUCCAUACACAUAAGAAAGCCAAUUCAAUACCGAGGAACUUACACAUAGGAAAAUAUAACACCUUGUGCUCUUGUAACGGCAAAAUUAAAUUGAAGCAGUCAGUAACAAGGCGAAUAUCAGUCAAUGAGAUCGAGUUCGAAGUAUUUUUAUCAUGAUAUAAAUUAAAUGGUCUAGCUAUAUAUUUUUCGAUCCGGUUUGAUUCGGUGAUUUGAUGCUCUUAGAUAUUAUUAUUCAGUUUUGAUCACAUUGGUUGGAGUUGAGAUUUGAAAAAAUAAAAAAGGGAGAGAAGCGAAGCAGCUCAAGUGGAGAAGGCGAAGAUAAGAUUGCCGGUUGCAUGUUCCCCUAAACCUAAACCCAAUCUCAAUGUUUUGUCUUCUUUCAACAUCUCUCCUCUUUUCAUGCCCACCUUUCUCCCUUUUCUACUCUUUCUGUAGAUUGUGUUGAAGCCUAUUAAACAAUGUUGUUAAGUUAAAUCGAUCAUUUCCUCUAAGGGUUAAUAACAAAUAAUAUUAAUCAACAGCUGUGUUUACCGCGUUUCUUACAUAUAAAUAAAGGCGCACCAAAUAGUGUAGGCCUAUUAAACAAUAUACUAGAUUAUUUAAUUCUCUGAUGAAGUUCAUUUUAGAAGAGCAGAAUUUUGAAUUGUAUACUUGUGCAUCUUGUUCCUUUCCAUACACAAUACCGUAUUCGAAUUUCGGGUCUGAUAAAACUGAAUACAAAAAAAUACGAUUAACAUACCACAGGAAAUAUUUUGAAAGGAUUCGUAAUUUUUUUUGGGAUGAUCUUCCAAUUUUUUAAUGGAAUUUUUAUUUGUUGAAGUUUGUUAUGCUAUCUUUAAUGUAUAAAAAAAAACAUAAAAUGUGGUAUCUUAAAGAUUUGUUAUCUUGCAACCCAUAAUAUAAUAUUAGACAAUGACAGAAUAUAGUAUUUUAUGUCCAAAAUUAUGAUUUCGUGAAAGUAUAGUUCCUUGGAGAUUUCAAAGCGAGCCAUGCAAAUCCCAAUGAACCAAAAAAAAUCAAGACCAUGUUCAUCUGCUCUGAAUUCACUUCCUUUUUAUUUACUACACCUCUUUCUUCUUUUUUCUUCUCUAUAAAUACUCUUCAAAUUCUUCUCUCCUUCAUUGCAACUCUUUCAUUUGCACUCUCUUCCAUCACCCACAAAAGGGUUUUUUUUUUGGCCUUGGGCACCCAAAGUCUCAACCUUAAACCAAAAACAAAGUCUGUGAUCACUAAUAUAAACCUAAUUAUCAAUCCCAUGGCAGAAUUCAAGAGAAAGUUCAACAAAGGUCAUGCCUUUACAAGCAAAUGUGUUUCCUUGGUGAAGGAACAACGAGCUCGUCUCUAUAUUCUCCGCCGUUGCGCAACCAUGCUUUGCUGCUGGUACAUCCAUGGCGAUGAAUAGAGAGAGCCCAUUGAGUUCUUCUUUCAAAUUAACCUCUACAUAUCACUAUAUAUAUUUAUAUAUAUCCUUCCUCUCCAUCUCUUCUUCUUGAGGCUCCAUUGGAUGUUGAAGCUCUCUCUGUUGGUGUUGGUGCUGGACUCUCUUUAGUGGCUGCAUGCAUGGCUUGAUCCCCCUUCAAGAACUUUUGAUUCUCUCUCUUGUGUUGGUGCAAAACCCUGCGAUGUCUUUUUUAAACCUAAAAGUCAACUCUUUUGGUUUUUUUUUUUUUUUUUUGUUUCCAUGGGGUAUUUUGCAUCAACCAAAGGAGAGAGAGACAUUAACCUCCGAUUGAGCUGGCGAAGUUUUUACUGUUUUUGGAAUAUAGCGAGAGACCCCAUGGAUGAUGUUAUGUGAAAAAGGAGUUUCAUACUGUGAAUUCUUCUGGAAUAGUUUCAUUUUGACCAAUGAGUUUUGGGUUUAGUUUCAUUUUGACCAGUGAAGUCUUUUCUAGUUUCAUCUAUAUAUGACCUUAUGACCUUAGAUCUUCUUGUUUGAUUUUUGCCUUUGGUUGUAACUUGUAAUUGUAACCCGAUGCGGGAUAAAGAAUAAUAACACGAUGAAUAAACUUUCAAUUUUUGCAAUGUAGAUAUAUUGGCUCAAGCUCAAAAUUGAAAAACUAAACAAACAAAAAAACAUCUUAAUUUAUUUUACAAACCAACAUUUUAACGGUUUACUCUAAGAACAAGGUUCAAGAUCAAACAAAAACAGAGCACUGUUCAAAGAGGGGACAUCUGAAGGUCAUAAUCCGGUCCAAGCCUGACCGAGUUAACGUAGUCACUCGUGCAAUGAUCCGACAGACCUGGAACAAACAGUCCCAUGAUCCUAAACAAAAUCCUAAACCAUCCUUCUUUAUAAUCCGGUCCAUAGAUAAACCCCAUUGUCAAGCCUCUAACCAACUCCCAAACUGCGUUUACAUGACCAAGAAUCUCGUAACGCAUACCGUAAGGGUUCGGAUCCGGCUCAUCCUCUGCUUUCUGUCAAACAUCCAAGAAAAACCAUCAAUUUCACAUUCCAAAUCUGAAAUCCGUAAGUUUUAUAUAAGUGAUGAUAACAUUACUGUCUCGUUGUAGAAGCUAUCGUAGUAAAGACAGAGUCCGAAAUGUUUAUAGAGGAACGUAUUGUUGUCGUAAGGCAGUCUCGGUACAAGAUCGUUGCAGUAUACAACUCGAAAGUAUCGGUCAACGGGGUGAUUCAGUUGAUCUUUCAUGAAUAACCCGACUUCUCUGUUCCCGAUCCUCGGUUGUCCAAACGUGUAAACACCAAGCAGCCUCUUCAUCAUCUCUGUCUCCUCUUUCAACACAAGCAAUGUGGGAAACAGCACAGCUAAAGCACCACCUAAGCUGUGACCUGUGACUACAAAUUGGGCGUUUUCGUGUUCUGAAAGCAAACGUUUCAGAGUUUUUCGAACUGCGUAAUAGGCGCUUCUCUCUACCAUCUCUAGGAGAUAGUCUUUAUGAUUCUCUUCCUCGGAGGAGUGUUGAUCGGAGAGAUGGUAAUGGAAAGUGGGAGUGUCGUCUCUGGUACCUAAACCCAUGGCUUCGAUGAAACCCAUGUGAAGCUUUCCCACAUUUGGGAUUUCAUACCAAGAAUAGUCGAAAUCGGUUCCCCAAUCGUCUGCAUCAAAGGGCUCAGUGCCUCUGAAGCUUAUUAGUAUCAAGUUUGCAUCUUUCUGCUUAUCCGUAAGUAUAAAAACUUGUGUAGACAUCUGCUUCUGAUAAUCUGUGAACAUAGACACAAAAAAAGAAAACACAUCCACACAAAGUGUUCAAAUAUAAAGUGAAAACUGUUAAGAAGCUAAAUCUUGCUAUCUAAUUCUCACCAUUCCAACAAUCCAAGAACUCCACCACAUUCAUCUGCAGACAUUAAGACAUGGAAACUUUUAUUAAAGUUGGAAACUUUUUCCCACAUGAAAAUGUAUCUGAAGUUUAUAUUCUUAAAUAGCUUGCCUUCCAAUGGAGAUUAACGACAUUUUCAACAACCUUGGCGUUCUCAUACGCAAGCUUCGACGCCAUCACACACAAAUCCAUAAGCCCACGAUUUCCCGGUUCGAUUCUAACCCUUGCAGAAGAACCCGAAUCAAUGCUCACCAACUGUUCGACGAAACUCCAACUCUUGUACAGAUCAAUUCGCCCAUCAAGGUGCCCAAUCGUACUAAUAAACGUCACAGAGCCUCUUUCUGGUAUCACAACUUUCGCUGCAACACAAAAUCAAUUCGCAUUAAAAUCAUCCAAACUCAUAAAAAUGCGAUUUUUUUUUCUUCUUCGUUUCUGUCAAAGUUUGUAACUUUACUUACCUUGAAUAAACCCGAAAAGCAAACCGAAGAAGCCGCCAUUGGCAGACAAUAGAUUGAGGAGAAAGUCAACGAAGAAACCUGUGUAUUCCAUUGGCGUUCGGAGAAGUCCGAUGAUCUUACGGACCAGAAUCGAAACCACGAUUACCCAACGGUGAUCUUCCGCUUCCUCAUCGAUCACUGUCGUGUUCCUACUGGAGUAUUCAUCAGGCCAUUCCAGGAACUUUUCCUUACUCGUUUCGUCGCCUCUCAAACCGUACCAAAACAGGUCUCUGUACCCACCUCGGUGAGGUCGAACGAUCAAGUAGUUCGACCCGUGACCCGGAUUCGAAGCCGAACCCGAUUCGUUGUGUUGGUGCAUGUCUCUGGUUCCCUCUCUUCUUUUGUAUCCUAUCAAAUAGAAGGUAGCUUAAUAAUGUAAUAUGGAUGAAUGUAUAUGCAUGCAUAUACCUCUCUGUUUGUAUUUAGGCUUUAAUUUGUUGCUUGUCUUUUUGGUUAAAGCAUAUUUUUAGUUAAGCCUCGUCACUAUCGUAUCAAGUACUGCAGAUUCUGAUUUUUUUUAGUUAGCUUGUAGCUUGUUUACUUUUCUUUUCUUUUUGUUUUUUAGAUUAUUUUUGUCAAUGGGGAAACCAAAAUAAUUGUAUCAGUAACGAACAAGAAAAACUAGUUUUGGAAAGUUCGACUAAUUCGUAACCAAAACGAAAGUUGGACUAGUUAAUGCGCUUUGGAGUCAUCUGACCAAAAAGGAAAAAAAAACGACUUUUUUCACCUGCCAUUCUUUUCAACUUUCAACUGAGUUGAGUGUAUAUUAAGGAACGUUUUCUUUUCAUAUGUUCUAUGCGUAAUAGAUGAAUCUCAGUUGUUACUUGUUGUAUUCAAUUGAGUCUAUAUUAAGGAACGUUUUCUUUUCAUAUGUUCUAUGCCUAAUAAAUCUCAGAUGUUACCAGAGCCGUAUUUGAGAUUUCUCUAACUACAAGCGAAAAGAAAAAAUUAACCUUUUAAAACUUUUUUUAAUACAGUUUAGCCCACAAAUAAUUAGCAAAAAGAAGAAAAAAAUAACAAAUAUGCAUUUGGAAAGAAUUGAACCCAGCUAAACUUCUAACCAAACAUGCUUUUACUUAUUCACAAACCACUUAGACUAAUUCAAACUCUGAAAAAUUAGCCCUAAAAAAAUAUUUAACUCCUGUAACUCUGAAAUACAUGUUUUAUUAGGUUGUGCUUAGCACGGCUCUUGGAUGUUACUAUGAUACUUGUUACUUGUUACGGCUUAUACUUCCAGCAUUUCUUAUAAUAAAUAAAAAAACAAACAAACAGUACUUUCUUCACUUUUACAGUUUACUAUAAAGAACACUUAAAUUGGAUAACCGAAAUAUUAUUAGCACCAAAAAGAAUAAUCGUUCUGUCAGGAGUCAGGACUAAUGCAAGAUAAACGUAGGCACCUCACACGUGUGACGUGUCGAUGUUCAGAAAGUGGGCCUCUGUCCUCAACGGCCCAAAAAUCCAAACAUCUUACGUAGUCCAUGUGUCAUGUUGUUCUCGCUCUUUCUUACCCAUCUUUUGACAAAUGUUUCAUUGCUAUCUCACACUUUGCCCCAAAAUAAUCUUUUUUUUUGGACAUCGCGUAAGAUAGUCUUUCUAAGCUAAGAUUUUACAUAAAUGUGUCACUUUACAUGUAUUGUCAAACGGUUUCCAAUAAUGCACAUAACCUUUAUUGGAGGAAAUAUUGAAUCACAUGUUUAUUCAAUUUUACGGCAAAUCCCUAUGAUUGAGAAUUUGGGAUGAUUGAGAAUGUGCUUUUAUGUUGUGGUUAGUGUAGAAGUAUAUUGGGUUUGGCAAGUAGAUUUGAUCGUUGUAACAUAAAGCUGUGAGCACUUCGUCGUUUAAGGUGAAAGGACCGGCCGGUUAAAGCGGCACUCUCGACUCUCGCUAUAGAUUUAUUAAAAAGGCUCGGUUUAUAUCAUUUAAUGCAAGGUUUGCAACUUUUUAAAACAAAUAAAAUUAUCCUCUCUUGACAUGCACGCAACACGUCGGUUCUGUCUCUUCUCAGUUCUCAAUCCUUAUUCCGAAAGAAAGUGUAAACUCUUCAACAAGCAAAGCAUUUUUUCUUAUGUAUCUCUUUUCUCAGACGGCUAAAUAAAUAAAAUGAUUUGUACCGUUUUGUUUAUCUUUUUGAUUUUUAGUAUUUAAAGUUCAUACAGCGGAAUUUUCAAAAAGAGGAGAGAAAAUUCUACAUCAUAUGGCAGAAUAUUUAUACUUCUAGAAUUUAAAUGGAGGCGGAUUAUCUGUUCAGAAUCUUUGUUGUGAUAGCGUUAGUUGAAUAGGCUAUUUUGAAUAUGUAAACGAUACAUAUAUAUAUAUAUAUAUUAUAUAUAUAUAUAUUCGUGUGUGUGUUCAUAGGUUAUACAUAUACCAAAACAAAUGCUACAAUUUUAUGUAGUUUUUAAUUAAGUUAAUGGAGUACUGUUUUUCUUUGAUUCUUUCUAUGAGAUUUUCUGGUGGACUUACUUGUUAACAAGUGGUUUAUUUGAUAUUCCUAGAAACUAGUGUUGGAAUAACUUUCAGUACUCUGUUUAUAUAAAUUAAAAGAAAUAUUCUAUCCGGUCCGUAUGUAACACAAAAAAAAAACAUAUACAAUGCCGAGUCUAGACUCCGAAAGAAUAAAAAAAAUAAAGAGCAGAGAGCCAGAGACUGCUAAGUUUGUAUUACGAACUUACGAAUAAUUUAUAGGAUUCAGAGUCGCAUAACGCUAUAUAGUGCAGAUACUUUACUUAUCAGAGCAUCUCGUACACUCAGAAUUUGAUCUUACUUUUUCAUGUGUAGGGUUAAUAGACCAAAUGAACUGGUCUGUAUAGGUCAUUGCAAAAAUAAAAUUAUAGGAUCCAUAAUCUAUAUAAAGGGUUUCUAGUGGGACUACUUGAAAAUCCGGAGUGGAAAAACCUCUUUUGAAGAAAACCAUACAAGUAGUAUAUACACAAUCGAUUAUAAAAAAUGUUGGAAAUAAAUAAAUACAAGCAUACACAAUACACACUAACACACACACACACCGGCCAAUUUUAUAUGGAAGCAAAUAGUUUUCCUCCAUCCUUGCGAAAGGACUACCACAAUAACGUAAUUAGGUCGCCUAUCUUUUUGGACACGAGUGAAAUCAAAACGACGCGUAGUUUGUCGGCAAACAAAUAAACGGCAGCACAUUACGC